Molecule: long non-coding RNA, 51658 nt
Filed under: Eucalyptus grandis
Lineage: Eukaryota; Viridiplantae; Streptophyta; Magnoliopsida; Myrtales; Myrtaceae
Description: long non-coding RNA (EGRA_LNC003641)
Source: RNAcentral
GGAAAACGACUAAAUAAAUGACCUUCCUUCAAAUUUAAUCUAUCAGAAGAGAUUUUACAUCGCAUCGUUUGGACAGUGCUUGCUGACACAGAAACAAUGAUACAGUUCUCAUGAUAAGGUAACAUUUUUACAAGUUAAACCAGGCUAACGGCCUGACAAAAACGUUGAUUUGUAAAGUUAAAGGGAACAGAUCCCAUACCAAUUGGCUGGACCCUACCGCUGAAACCUCCUCCUCUGGAUUGCCCAAUGCUGUAAAUCGUAUCUGAUAAGCUAGGUCUGCCCAAGACCUCCCAUGCUUCCACCUUGAAUCACGUAAAUACAGUCGACCAAAUGUCUGUUCUCCACAGGUGGAACUUGUGCCAGAAAGCCUUGACCCUACAUAAUGGCAAGGGCAAUUGGUGAUAUUCUGUAACAUGAUGCCUAGCAACAACUCGUACAACAGUGUGCAUAUGCGUUCCUAUAAUUUGAUUCCAACGUCUUCCAAAGCAGCUGUCAUUGAAGCAGAUGCUUCUUCAAGGGUCCGUCUCUUCUCAACUGUGUUAAAGGCCUCCACAAUAUCUCCCUCCUCCCAAUCAUCAUAGUCUUCCAUCCCAAUACCACAUUCUAGUCCUGUACCAACCUAUACGAGAAAGUGAUCAAAUUACGCAACGUUCAGUUCUGUGCAUCACAAUUAAGAGACGAGACAAAACCAGAUGGUCCCUAAACAAAGAGUUCUAACUUCUGUGAAUGAAUUGCUAUUAAGAGAGUAGCAACUCUUCUGGGGAUUAAGGGUUGGACACUUUUACUCUCAAAGGAACCAGUUCAAUCAAGGGCAAGAAGAUGAUCCAACGGUGGUCAAGAAAUAUAUUAAAAUCAAAAGGAUGCCAUGAGUGAAAACUAAAAGAUAACUAAUCCAUGGACGGAUAAGGCUACGCAACAAGAACCAAACAAUUGUCAUGCUCAGACAAUAAGCUAUCAUCACUUUGCUCAGUUUUCCUCUCCCCUCAUACUGCAGGAUGCGUACAAGUGUCUAAAUAUAAAUCCUUAUAAACAAGAUUCUUUUUCCAGUACAUCACAACUUAUACCUUAAAAUAUCAGAAUAAUUGAAUUAUACUCGAUGAGCUCUACUAGUGUCGCUACCAUUUUUCAUCACGCUAGUAAAUAUAAUUCUUCAAAUUGUAUCUUACCCCUAUUCCUCACAUUAAAGCAAUAACACAUGCCUUCCAUCAAGGAAAUGAUAAGCAUUCUAUACACAAAGCUUGUUUCCACUAAAAGGUAAGUCUAAUUCCAGCAGAGCUCAUGAAAGAGCACGUAGACCAUAUAGAAAGUCAUGCAAAAAAAAUGUGCAUAGAGUCGGAUUAUUACGACACAAAGCAAAAUAUGACUUAGCAAAAAGGUCCAAUCAAUAACAUCUUUUAGCCAUACCUCUUUCACAAUUUCCUUGACCCGUCUCAAAGAAUCCAGAAUACCAACAUAUGCAGUUUUCCCCUUUCGAACAACUCGUAUACCACAGCCCUUCACCACCUUCCCCUCUGUAACCAUGCAUCCAGCAACCCGACCACUGCCACUGCUAAAUAUUGCUCGCACUUCAGCAGAACCAAUCAUUUCUUGUUCCUACACAUAUUAAUAAAAGAACAUAGAAUGAAUAAUCCGAAACAGAUAUUCUGGCAAUAUUAAGCGUCAAAGCAAUAGUUUCCGACUGAGCCCGAUUGGACUCAGCAUCAGCACCUAUCAACUAGAAUUGUACAGGUGUGCACCUGAUAGAAGUCAUUAUUAGGUAUCCCCACAAGGAUUUUCAGAGAAGAAGAAAAUCAUGUAGCUUUGGCAGGGUUAGCUGGACUUGAGCUCUAAUUAAGACAGAGACUCUAUUCUAAGAAGCAUCUCAAACACUGUAUCGCUCUGAAAGCACUGAUAAGUGGUCUCUCGGGUAGGAGCAGAUAUGCAGAGUCAAUCAAGUCAAAAUCAAGUGAUACAAGAUUAUGCCGCGGCCUCACAGAGGAAUUUUCAAAAGUGUUUUAGAAACUAACCUCCACCGACUCGAGAAGUCCUUCCAUUGCAUUACGUACGUCGUCAAUGAGUUCGUAGAUUACUCUAUACAGACGAAUCUCAACACCUUUAUUGUCUGCGUAGCUCUUUACCGAACCUGGUGCCUUAACAUUGAAUCCAACGAUUAUGGCUUUACUAGCAACUGCAAGAUCAACGUCACUAGUACUAAUAUCCCCGGGCGCUUGCAACAGAAAUUUUAAAGUGACAUUAACUUGCGGAAGCACUUGCAAGGCUUGUCUUAUGACCUCGAUGGAUCCAUGGGCAUGAAAAAGAUCCUUCAGUUCCACAGAAACUAGGAAGAAGAAUUCGAUGCAAUAAAAUAUAACAUGAAAAACAAAAUAACCAACUACCCUCCAACGCAUGAAUUUGAAGCAUGUUAUGUGCAUACCUGAACAUCAACCUUCAUGAUAAUAUUCAGCUGGUGCAAGUCCAGACCAGAAAGCUUUCCUGAUGAAACUGCAGAGGCUAAAGAAGAAAGUGUGACCUUCACAUCACCGGCCUUGGCUGAAAUACGUUCAUUUCGCAAAGACUCUACGCGCGCUUCUGCCUUUUCCCGUGCCGUAUCAAGGGACCCAACAACCUCAAACUCAUCACCAGCAAUUGGAAUGUUAUUCAGUCCAAUUACCUGCCAUGAUUAUAUCACAACCAGCAAAUUAUAUGUGGUGCACUGUAGAAUUUAAGGAAUACAAGACAUGGAAAAUGAACAAAAUCAUUAUAUCCUACAUGGCCACAAUUUCAGUCUAGGUUAUCUACGGGAAUAAGAACAUCUCUGCUUCCCGCUCAUCAUGCAACAAAUGCAUGCUAGUAGUCAGAGCAUGUGACUGCUUUCAUAACAUUUCUAAUCUGGUUUUUCUUUCUAAAUGAUAGUGACUUCUCCAAAACAUGGAUAAUAUAAGAGAAAGAUGUCAGGGGAUGAUUCCCGGUACAUCAUAGUAGCAUCAUGUGUGACAGAUCAUAACAUAAACAUGCCUUAAGCCAAUUUUAACUCCAACUGCAUGUAGGGAAUAUAAAUAUUCUUCGCACUGCAUAACUUGUUUGCAUAUCCAAGACUUAAGGGCUUUUCAUGUGUUACAGAUAUGAAGCCAUAGUAGAAACUCUCAAUGCAGGAAUAUUUGGAUUAAGACCUUAUUCAGGUUUAAAAGAAAUUGCACAUUGCCCAGGUAUUGAGUAUGCCAUUGCACAACUUCUGAACUCAUGAAUGAGAAAGUAUAUUUGCAUAUAGCCUUGCCAAGGAAACAUCUGCUAACGUAUUUGGCCUAAGGAAAAUUUAGAGAUGUUCAUCAAGCGUGGCAAGACCGUGUCAAUGACUUAUCAAUGGAUGAUAAAUCAAAAUUAAGGUUAAUUAGGUAGAAACCCCCAUCAACUGAUGUCACUAGGAGGUGCUGUAAAAUCGUAUCCAAAGUAUCAUUAUGCCUAAGGGAAUAACAACAUAGUCAAAGAAGCACCAACCUGUACAGGGAUGGAGGGUCCAGCUUCUAGGACUUGCUUGCCAUUCUCAUCAAAUAGUGCCCUAACCUGACCACAGAACAACCUUUCAAGCAUUACUAAAUGACAGAGCAAUCUAAAAAUAAAAUAUUGAGAAACUGUCUUCUCAAGUUGCACUGUGCAUAUAUUAAGUUUAACAGGAACUGCUGAGAGUUCAUUUGACGCAGCAACCUUUCCAAAAGCUCCUCCGCAGACCACAACAUCCCCUCUUUUAAGGGUGCCAUUUUGCACAAUAAAUGUAGCUGUCGAUCCUUUAGAUUUAUGAAGACCAGCUUCAAUUACAGUGCCCUUUGCAUUUCUAUGAGGAUUGGCCUUCAGCUCUUGCAACUUCAUGAAAAAUGUGUUUGGGGUUAGCAUAAAAUCACAGCAACACAUAUAAUAACUCCAUAGGUCACAGGAGAAAAUGUUGCACAAAAAACAUGGCCAGAGUUUUAAGAGAAGUCUAAAUGUCAUAAAAUAUCAAAGGAAUUACUCUGUAGUUGUAAGGGGGCUAAAUAAUGUGCAAAAGCUCACUUAAUCAUGAGUUAUAGUAUGUUGCCCAACAAAAGGAAAAAAACAUGAGUCAAAGUAGAAACAGGAAAGCCAUCAGAAAGUCAACCCCGAGAAGUAAAAGAUGGAUCUACUUUUAACAUUACAAACAUUAAAUAAGAGAAUAAAUUGGGGUAAAAACGCUUGCUAACCCACCCCCAGGAAAGAUACCAUAAGGAAAAUUUGCUUCCAUUACAAAUAACUGUACAAUGCAUCAAUCUAGAUAUACCUCCGCAACAAGCAUGACAGUCUCCAGUAAAUCAUCUACGUUCUCCCCUUUGAGAGCGCUAAUCCGUAAAAUGGCACAUAAUACUGUGAGACACCAUGAACUAGCACAACAAGAUGAAAAGACAGAUCCCAUCCAGAGAAAAAGGUGGACCUGAACCAUAGGGAUGUCGCCGCCCCUAUCUUCGGGCAUCAAGCCAACUGAAGAAGGUUCUUGCAUUACCCAUUCUGGACUGGCUCCAUCUUUAUCGAUCUGAUCAAGAAAAAAUGGAGCAGCUUGAUUAGACACAGGAUGAACAAAUAUCACUAUCCUAAAUACGUUUACUUCAAGCAUUUAUUUCUUAUAACACUUCAGGUAAGUUUUGCUUCAGUUGGCGAACCUUAUUUAUUGCAAUCACUAUCGGUACUCCAGCUGCUUUGGCAUGAGCAAUAGCCUCACUGGUUUGAGGCCGGAUCCCAUCAUCAGCAGCCACUACAAUGAUAGCAAUAUCUGUCACUCUCGCUCCACGAGCCCUCAUUGCUCCAAAUUGCCUGUAAGACAGAAUGUAAUUGAAGUUAGACCAGGCAAUUAACAUAAUAGAGAUUGAUCCCGCAAACUAUACCCUCACUACAAUAAUAAGCCUAAAGUUCAGAAGAUCACAAACUGGUUAAUAUGUGCAGCAAAAUUACCUCAUGCCCAGGAGUAUCCAGGAAAACACAGGGUUGCAAUUUGCCAUCCACAGGUACUAGCACCUUAUAUGCCCCAAUUCCUUGCAUAAUCCCACGCGCUUCUGAUGCAGCCACCUGCAAAAGUCUAUCAGUCAAGUCCAGCCACCCAAUCCAUAAUGCACACAAGCAACUAGACCUGACAUUUCACAGGGAUCUAUGACUUGCAUUUUAAAAUUGGUAUAUUCAUUAAUGUCAUUCCUCAACUGGUAACAAGUGAAACUAAACAGAAAGUACAUUCAGGAAACACAUUUAUAAAGGUGUAUAAUGAAGCCAUCUAGAAAACCUUAAAUGCAGAUCCGGUGCAAGAAUAGUUAAAAAGAGAUCGUAAUAGAAGCUUCCAUUCAUACCUUGCUUUUACGAAUAUAAUCCAACAGGGUUGUCUGCAAAACAUUAUGCACAACACGCAUCAGCGUAAGUUAUUAUCAAUGGAGAAGCAAUGCCAUUUUUCACUUGUCUGAGAAAACAAGGGUCUCACUUAUAUUACCUUGCCGUGAUCCACAUGACCCAUGAUAGUCAGCACAGGUGGUCUAUCUUCAAGUUUGUCCAAGUCAUCUUCAUCAAAUAUUUCCUUCUUCCUUGCCAUUUCUUCAACUUUGAUAGGAUCAGCCUCUAUGACCUCCACCUCAUAUUCUUUACAGACCAUCUUCAACAUUUCCUUGUCCAAAGUUUGCACCCCAUCUGGCUUAAUUCCUUUUGAAUACAAAAGUCCAAGGAUUUCACCUUCACUUGUGGCCAAGUUGUAUGCCAAGUCCUCUAUCAACAUUACCUGUUCCCCAACCUCAAGAAUUUCAACUUUCACUGGAGCAGCUUCUUUGGCUGCCUGGAGUCUAGCUGCCUUCCUACUUGCUUUACUCCACUUCCUACCCUUCCUCGCACUAGCUGCACCUGGAAUGGAGACGUUUAGUUCUGAGGCCUCCUCAUCUGGAAUCUCAAUAUCAUCAUUGACCAUUCUCCUCCGCGGUCCACCAGCUGAAGCAUUCUUCUUCCGAUAGUCAUCUUUGAAUUUGCCAGAGGCAGGUCCCUUUGAAGGCUUUGUAGGGGCUAAAACUGCUUGAGCUAUGAGAGGAUCAACAACUGGUUUUUUGGUAGCAAACUUAUCUAUCAAGUUGGCUUCCUUUCUUUAGUUUUUCCCGGAGCAUCAACAUCAUCCACAGUCGACGAUUUUGGCGCUGCCCCAACAUCCUUCAAGAUUACAGGUUUCUUUAAAGCAGGUGGUGGAGCCACAGAAGGCUUGGCCUGUAACUUAGGUUGCAGUCUUAAAGGUGGCUGAGCAGGUCUUAGAGAAGCUCGAGGCUCAUCAUGCUCUUCAACCUUUUGAGAUUCUGGAUCAUCAAUUACUUUGUUGCUAUCGGGAGAAUCCAUUGGAAACUUUACCUUUUGCACUGCGGCAACAUUGUCCCCUUUCCGCCACACACCUCUUCAAAGUCUUAGCCUUUUUACUUCCAGCAGAAUUCACAGGUUUACCGUUUCUAGGAUUAGCACUUGUACCGGAUGGUGUUGAUUUAUUUACAUUUCCACCCUCCUUUUUGCUUGCUUGUCGACCCAGAUUAGACUUUUCGAGCUUUUCCGCCUUCUCCAACACCUCAUCAAGGGACUCAAGAACAUUAUUCUUAUUUUCUAAACCAUCUAGCGUCUCAACAGAGGAAUCUCUGCUAGGUCUCGAAGGUUCUAGCCCCACUGAAUUGGUCUUAGCAUCGGAUGGUUUCACAACAGGCCUUGGUGCGGGCUUCAGUAAAAUCUCGUUGUCGUCGUCUUUAUCCCCUCCAUAACCAUUGUUAGAAUCAAGGGAGACGGCAUUGGUAUGCUCGGCGAUGAAAUCGGUCGUCGUGACCGAAUAUUUACAAUGCCAUCUUUUGACGCUACUCCAGUGUUUGCCUCUCGGGAAGGCAAUCUUGCGAACCGGCGAAUAAGGCACUUCAGAGGAACCCCGGUUGGCACUAGUCCCCGCACUCACGACGGAAGCUGCAGAAGCCAGAGAAACCAUCGUUCCUCCUUGCAUACCUCCCACUAGAAUCAUCACCAUCAGUAAUUCUCACGCAAGAAGAGCCAAACACACUAGGGAGUCAACAGUUCGGUUCGGUUUGGUUUUUCAGUUUUUGCUUUUUUUCGCUUUUGGUUUUUCGGUUACGCCGUCCGUCGACGAACCGUACGACGGCCUUCUUGGCGACGCUUGUAAGCUGAACAGGUAAGCUCGCCCCUGCUCUUGCCCUGUUUUGGGCGCGCCGGGCCGGAGCUCCCGGCCGUCCGGCUCCCGCGAGCUCCGGCCGGCGUCGCCCCGCGUUUUGUUUCCGAUGUCUUGUUCGUCGCGUGUCGAGAGUCCCAGUGCGGGUCGAGCUUCGGUUGACCCAAAAAUCCAUCGUUAUAGUAGCACACCCCAAUUGUUUGAUAUAAUGCCUGAACUGGAUCUGAAAGUUUGGGUGGGGAAUAUUCGUUCUCGUCGUGUCGUUUCGUCUGUGGCCGUCGUUGCCCCUUUCUUUGAUUGAGCAGACGGAGGCAAGCGUCGCUGAGGCGUGGCUUUCGGACGGUAGGGGUGUGUCGAAACCUUAGAUUGGGUCUCGGUUUGGCCGUUCGGGGCAAAGUUUGGCUUCCACCGUGAGGAGGCCAGCGAGGGCAAGGGGGUUCCGGCGACGGCCGAGGUUGUCGACCGUGACUCGCCGAGCACCAGGUGUUGUCGGACAUGGAGGUCGGGGCGCCGGUAAUGCUACUCGGCUGGUCUAGGCGGUGGGGCUUGGUGGAGGCUCGGGCGUGGAAGAGAAGCUACUGUUCAGGAGAUGAGUCCAUCGUGGACUCAAGGCCGGUGAGGGGCUCGUCGUAGCGGUGUCGAUGGUUCGGGCAGGAGGGCUGCAGGUGAGCGUUCGGUGAAGAGAGAGGAGUCGUCAAGGAAGAAGGAACUGUAGAGACUAGAGAAGAUUUUAUCGGUUCGGGGUUCGGUUAACCGAUAAAAACCGAACCGAUAAAAAAAUUUCGGUUUUUAACAAAGACCAAACCAAAAAAACCGAAUUUUUCGAUUCGGUUCGGUUCGGUUCGAUUUGAUUCUCGGGUCGGUUUUUGACACCCCUAAAUCACACCUCCAACGACCGAAAAGAAACGAACUAACAAAUUCUCAAAUUCACAACCCUCUUCCCUCUCCUAAGGUUUAUCAUAACCCACAUGGCGAAAGGGCGAUUUACUCCAAAGGGUAUCAAAUUCCGAGCUCUCGACAAAAUAAUCAAGAAGGAAAUUCAGUUCCACGUACAGGGCAGGCGAGCGAGUUAGUCAGAUACCGGGAGUAGAUAAUUUACCUGAAGCCCGAUUCUGCGAGGAAUCAAGAAACGGCAAUGGGUGUCCGAGAAAUCAUCUGACGAGCGAUGUUUCGGUUAAGAAGAGGAUGAGAGGGAGAGGGAGAAGGGGAGAGAGAAUCCUCUGUGGCUGAGGGAGCGCAGAGGAAAAUAUAUGGCCGUGGCGAUGACGAAAGAGGCCUGAAAUUUUUCAUAUCAUUUUCGAGAUGGGGAUAUAAAUACGUCUCAAUUUCGGAAGAGGAGGACACCAUGACGUGUCUCCUUUCCAGUACCAGAAAUUCAACAACAAGGGAAAGCCCUGAGCAGUAAUUACUACAUUAAGACUGGUGAUAAAGAUAAGAAGUACCCACAAAGACUCAUCUCAGAUCUCUACUCAAGAGCUGAGGGCCUUUUUGACAUGCAAGGUGAACUCAUACACCUUCUGAGGGUCGGGGACAGACUUGGACACGCUCUCUUUAUUCAGGCACCUCUUGGUCCAAGCUAUCAAUUUGGGGCACUCCGCCUCAAUGCUGAAAUUUCCAAACUUCUCGUACGCAUAUAACCAGGUGUAGAAGGGGAUGGCCGCAACGUCCACGAAUCCUAACCUCUUGCCCCCAAAGAAGGGCUUGUCACCGAGCUCACCUUCCAAUAGCUUCAGGCUCUCAAUCAGCUCCUCCUUGGCCACCUCUUCCUUUCCUUCUAUGGUCCACACCUUCCUCUCCAGGUCAUAGAACUGCAAGUAUUUUUAUAAGUCAAUUAGAAUCACACGAUGUUUAAUUUCAACGUCUGCAGAAUUCAUCAUAUUUAGAAUCAUCAUAUUUAGAAUAGGCAACCGAUUUUUGUGCACUAUUUCCUAGAGUAUGAUAAUAAAUUUGCUCGAGAAGUUCUUCCUGAAAGUCACUUCACCGUUAAAAAGAAUUUAAUUGAAUAAACCACAUCUGCAACCAGUAGAUACAUACAUAUAAAGAACAAUCUGAUCAUAUAAGCCCUAAAGCACCCCUUCCAUUUUUUUGUCCAACCAAUUAAGGCAGAUGGGUAACCAAGCAGGCGGCGCUACCGACUUUCAGAGUUACCAUGGAGACAAUGGCACUCGGCAUUACUAACGAGCUCGAGGGUAUAGAGGUGAAAUCAUUCAAACCCCACAAUCACACAGCAAGCUGGUUUGAUCCCUAUGCAAGCGGCUACGGAUUCAGCUACUACAACUACCACGGAGCGUGAGAUUUGAGAAGGGGGGAAACUUUACCUUCUUAUCGACAUAAUCGGCCCAGAACCUGGCCUGAGCCCUCUGCUUAGGGUCGGAAGGCAAGAGGGACCAACCGUCGGACCAGGUCUCGUCGAUGUACUGGAGGAUGAUGAGGGACUCGCAGAUGGGCGUGCCGUUGUGGACGAGGACGGGGAUCUUCUUGUGGACGCGGUUCAUGCGGAGGAGGAGGUCGCUCUUGUUCCUCAGGUCCUCCCCCUUGUACUCGUACUCGAUCCCUUUCUCCGCCAGCGCGAUCCUGCACCGCAUGCCGAACAUGCUCGGCCAGGAGUCCAGCAGGAUCACCUCGUCGGCCAUCGCUUCCGGCUCACCACCCCACGGAGACAUCGCGAAUUCCAAGCGCCUCAAGGUUCAAUGCAGAAGGCGCGCCCAGCUUAGCAAGAAUCAUUUGGCUGAGAAAGUGGGUAUUUAUCGGCUCGAGUCUAAUUAGAUUCUUUAAAAAAUAAGAAGUUGGUCAUCGUUAAGGAUAAUUUCAACUAGUUUCACCUAUUAUACUUAUAUCCUUUUUAAUCGGUCAAAAUUGAAUAUCGAUACAUAGAAUAUAGGGGUGUGCAAAAAAAUUGGGAUCCGCCCGGACCGUCCGAAAUCGGACUGAAACUGUCCGGAACCGGUGAUUCUUAAGGGAACCGGUUGGUACCGAUCCGGUUCCAAAUUUCAUAGGUGAAUCCGUCCAUCCGGACCGGAUCGGUUAUAUUAUAAUAAUAUAUAAAUUUUUAAUAUUAAAAAAAUUCGAUGGGAGAACGUUGCGAUGCGCUUUCAAUAAGCCAAGCGGGGAUUCAAGGGGUGCGCAAUCAGCAUCCAACGGUCCAGUUACAAUGAACGGUGCGUGCGUGGGGACACGUGAGAGAGAGAGAGAGAGUGUGUGAGACGUGGGCCCACGAGGCGGACGACUUUUCUCUCUGCCUUUGUCCCCACUUCUUCGCUUGCUCUGAUUCUCCUCUAAGAACCACCAAGAACCAUCACCGGCAUUAUGGAGCAUCUUCCUCUCUCCUUCUUCUUACUUCUCUCUGUUCUCUCUCUUGCUGGUAAGUUUUGGAAGCUCUCUUUUUUCCUCGUUCGCCAUGUUUUUUUCCGUUCUUUGUCGGGAAACUUUCAAAUGCAGCUCAAGUUGAAAGCUUUCCGGCUCACAAUGAGCAGAAUGCCACGCCCUUUUUCCUCUGCUCAUCGUCCCCAUUGUCUAGGUCUAAGAACGGCCCAUCGUCCCCAUUAUCCUCCACAUUGUGGGUCUCGAGGGAGGAGUGGGAGACGACGGAGGCGGUGGCCAAGAUGGUGGUGGUGGCUGAGACGGAAGUGGAGCGAGGGUCGCAACCAGUUGAAGGCGAAAAGGAAAAAGCGGACCGGUUCCAUGGAUCCACCCGGGAACUGGACCGAACCGGCGGUCCGGUUCCCGGAUGGAUCCAUGCAACUAGCGGGCGGUUCCCAAUUUCAAUUUUUCGGAACCGGCUCUUAGCGGGCGGUUUCCGAUUCUAGGUCGGGAACCGCUCGCCCGGACCAUGCACACCCCUAAUAGAAUAUCACUUUUCUUUUUAAAUUUUCGUUUGAUAUAUUAUACUAAUUUUAUAAAUGAAUGGUACUGCAUAUUUUCAGAAUUACAUUUUCUAAGCAGCAGUUUGUGAUUUCUUAAAAUUUUAUGUGAUAUUAUAGAUUUAAAUCUUUUUUAAUAUAACGCUAUUUUCUAACUAUUUAAAUUUUUAAAACGAUUGGCUCUGGUUCCAAGUUUCAUAAAUACAUCAAGAUUUAUAAGUGAACUUAAAAUGGUGAGUAAGAUAAGGUGAUAUUCAGAAAUCAGUCAAAUUUUACUACAUCGCUUAAUAGAUAAUUUAAAUAAUAUCAGUCAUUACACCUCUGCUCUCAAGGUAAUUGCUCAAAUUUUUUUUGUGGGGGCGGGACGGGAUUUUUCCAAAGAGCAUUGACGUUCGAGACACGGCAUGUACUUCAAAGAUUAUUUUAUUCUCUUUGCGUCCAAAACGACAUAACCUCGUCUGUGAGGCUGCUGGUGCUGAUAAUUCCAGAUUAUUCCACGAAAACGUAAUCACUUUCGUCGUCGCGCUCUCCCACCCAAAACGAAACUCACGAAGGGCAAUGGGACCCACUUUGGCAAGAGAGGGCCCAAAAAAGAAAAAAUAAAGAAAUUAUUGUUCGUACCCUCUUUAUGUAGCCAAUCGUCUAGGAAUACGUAAGAUUGGCCCCCAAAUAAUAAUUUAUCUCUGCUCCUCCAAUUAAAUGCCUAUUAGGGGUUUCAAGAGUUCGAUUCAGUUCGAUUUUUUUUUUUUAAAUCAAACCAAACCAAACUGUUAGGAAAAACUUCCGAACCGAACCGAAUGAAACCCAAACCAAAUACGAAUAGAACCAAAAUUUUAGUUCAGUUUAGUUCGAUUUUUCGAUUUUUGAUUUUCAACUUUCAGUUUUCAGUUUUUGCAUUUCUUUUUUUUCUUUUUUUUUUGGUUGUAUAUAUUUUUUGUUCCCAAGAAAAAAAAGCUUUUAUCGGUUUGUUGGUUCGGUUCAGUUCGGUUAACCGAUAAAAAUCAAAUUGGCCCUCGUCUGGCCAGUGAUCCCAAGACCGGCGAUCGGCCACCUUGAAGAAGAAGAAGAAGAGGAGAAAUAAAGGAAAAAAAGGAAAAAAGCAAUAAAAUUAUUUAAAAUUUUAAAAAAAAAUUAUUUGAAGUACAAAAACAUUAAAAGAUGCAAUAUCAGAUAUGAAACCACAAAAGAUAUGCAAAUAUCUAAGCAUAACCUAGCAAGAGUUUAUUUAGUUUCUCAAAAACCUAAUUAUCAACAGGAAAGGACAUUGACUAUAAGGACAGCUAUUGGCCAAUCAAACAACUGAAUAUCAAAUUGUGUAGCAACUUCCAUAAGCGUAAUGGAACAACACAGUUCAACAUAUUUCAGUAGGUAGUCUAAAGACGAGAACCCAGAUCGGCAAUAGUGACCAGGGUCCGGACGAUUGUUUAUCCAAAGCACAGCUCUCUGCAAAGCCAUGCGGCUGUGGAUGAGUAGAUAAAUCUAUUCUCUAUUCUAAAGGAGGGCUUUAAAGCUCCAAUUAUUGGCACUCGUCUCACUCUAGUGGGUUUGAUCUGGGUUUGUUAGAGGAAACUCUAUUUUAUGAAUUUUCCCUUUUCCUUGUCAUUCUAAGUUCUUUUAAUAUGAAGUACGAUCCAUUUUAGAUCUUUUUACCUUCAUAAAUUUGAUGCUAAUCUAAUUUAUUUUCGCAUAAGUACAAGCGAUUAGAGGUUUGUUUAAUUUUGGGGGACAAUGUUAGUUUCCUCUUUCUUAGAAUAUUUUUUUCCAAAAAGUACAAAACCUAUUGUAUGAUAAUCAAUUUAAUCUUGAACUUUUAAAUUUUACCAAUUAAGUGCUAAAACCUUUCGAUAACUUGCCAAUUCAAUUACAAACUUUUUAAUUAUACCAAUUUAGUCAUAAACAUUUUAAAGAUUUCCCAAAUUAAUCAUAAAUAUUUUAACAAAUUGACAAUUUAGUCAUUCUAGGUAAUUUGAGCAAGAUAUUACUGACAUAGCCGUUUGUCACGACCUACCCUUGGGGGAGGGAACGGGUUUAGGGGUAUUGCCUAAGUGACGGGUCUAAUGCUCAUGAUCAGCUGUGGGCUUUCCUAAGCCCAUACCCCGCGUGACAUUGGGAUAUUCUUUAGAAUUUUGCACAAAAUGAGUCGCCACUAGCCUAUUGGGGUCAGCUAGAAACCAAGUGAUGUAUGAAAAUGUACCUCACUUCCUACGCAACCAGAGAAUUUAGGGUCAAGGAUUUGAUUACAUUAAUUGAUCAAUUAAUGCCCUUUCGGUACCUAAUCCCGUUCAUUUUAAAAAAAUGAUUUUUGGCAAGCAAUUUGGAUUGAUUUUAUACCUAUCAACUAACAUACGAAGUGAUCAUGCAGGUGCACAAACAUUGAAAUAACAAUCAUAGCUAUCAAGAUCCUAAUUGCAAUAAAAUUAAAUAAAUAUGCAAAUUAAACAUGCAACAUAUAAUCAAAACACAAGCAACUAAAUGCCUAAUUACACUAAAAAUGCAAAACAUAGCAAUUCCUAACCAAACCCCAUCAUUUUUUAAUUUUCGAAAUUUCUUAAUUAAUUUUUUUAAUUUUUUAAUUAAUUUUAAAAAAAAUUUAAAAAAUUUAAAAAAUUAAAAUUUUUAAUUAAUUUUAAAAAAAUUAAAAAAAAAAUUAAAAUUUUUUUAGUUUUUUUUUUUAAUUUUAAAUUUUUUUAAAUAUAUAUUUUUUUCGAAAUUGUUUUCUCUUUUUUUUUUUUAGAUUUUUUUUUUUUUUGGGACCGGACUGAGUCGGGUCGAGUCUAACUGGGUCCGACUCAACCGGGCCCGGCCCGACCGAGUUAGGCCCGACCAUCCCUGGUUGAGCCUAACUUAACUCAACUUGGGCCCGAGAGUCGGGCCCAAGCGAAAAUAAGAGUCGAGUGGGCUAGAUUUGGGAUCUGGCCCACUCAACAGACCUCCCCUUGGUCGCAACUGGGUAGUCGUGAUUGGGUAGUUGCGACCAAGGACGCCGAGAAGACGCACGCCGGUGAUGGCACUGUCGCGGCCAAGUAGGGUGAGCAGCGCGGCUUCCCUGGCUACAACAGCGUCCCUCCAGCAGUCAGGGGUCCUAGGGCUCCAUGUGGAGGAGCUUUGGAGGGAGAGAGCCCACUUGGGCAUUAUGGUGAACAGGUAGAUGGCAUGGGCGAACCAGGAGGCUUCCGACCUAAACCGGACUCGAGGCAGCAACGGCGGUGACCAGCAAGCAAACACAAACAGACAGGAACCUAAGGGGGACCUACGGAGGCCGGAGCUCGCUCGAAACGAACGGAACGAACUUCGGCCAACUCAAACUCAAAAUGCACUCCAAGUAUUCGAUGAAAUGCCAACCUGAGUUCCGACGGGAAUGGCAGCUUGGAAGACGUGUCUGCAGCGGUGGUGGCGGCAAUUGCGGUCCGGAGAUGUGUCGACGGCGGUUGCAGCGGUCGGGAGACGCGUCGACGGCGGCAGCUUUGGUGAGUUCCUCCUCCUUUUGCUCCCUGUUUCUCUCGCUUUCCCCCUGUUUCUCUCUCUGUUUCGCCUCCUGUUUUCUCUCGAUUUCUUUUUUCGUCCUCUGUUUUUCCUCUUUUUUGUGUCUUUUUGCCCCCUCGGCCUCUCUCUAGAUCUCUCCCUUUUGUUGAUCGUUCGGCUCGCGUGCAUGUGAGAAUCGGCUCUGACCUCUCUUGCCGCUUCCAACGCUCGCCUGCCCCACGAGAUGAUGCUGUCUCCUCUGCCCCCUGCCCCUGCUUUCAGCUUCGCCAUUUCCCCACACGAACGGCUACUUUAUGCUUUCCUCUUCGCUGAUUCCCCGCGCAGCAAACGGCUGAGGGAGAAGACAAUGGGGCGGGCCGGGCCGGAGGGAAGAAGAGGGCUGGGCCAUGCAAGGGGAAAAGAAAAAAAAAAGAAAAAAGAAAAAAAAAAGAAAAAGGAAAGGGGAGGGUUUGAGCCCAGGCCCACGCGGGGUGAAAAUAAAAGGAAAAGGGGGCCGAGUUGGGCCAAGGCCGGAUUCGGCCCGACCGGACCCACACAGCUUUGCUCCCCCCUUUUUUUUGUUUCUUUCUUUUUUUGAGGAAAUUAAUAAAAAUAAAUAAAAAUAAUUUGAUUUUGAUUGAUUUUUUUUUUAGAUUUUUGAUUUGAUUUUGAUUUUUUUUAUUUGAUUUUGAUUUUGAUUUUAUUUUUUUAUACUAUUUGAAAGAUAAAAAUUAGGUGUUAACAGCUGCCCCUCUUUGAAUGUAGUCUCGAAGAGGCUGUAAUCAAAGACAGAAGACACCUAAAUUAUUUCGGCGAUAUAAUGACCCUAGGUGCGUAAGUACGCAUUAGGUUGAUGGAAAAUGACUCAUAACUAUUGAAAUGCAUCUUGUCAAUACGAUGAAGAAAGACUCCGGGUUACAGAAAAACGCCGUGUCAUCAUAAGAAGGACUCCGGGUUACAAAACUCUCCAGGCUACAAAAGCUCUCCGGGCUAUAAAAGCUCACCAUGUCAUAAGAAGGACUCCGGGCUACAAAGCUCUCCGUGUCAUAAGAAGGACUCCGGACUACAAAGCUCUCCGGGCUACGAAGCUCACCGUGUCAUAAGAAGAACUCCGGGCUACAAAAGCUCUCCGGGCUACGAAGCUCACCGUGUCAUAAGAAGGACUCCAGGCUAAAAAGCUCUCUGGGCUACAAAAGCUCUCCGGGCUACGAAGCUCACCAUGUCAUAAGAAGGACUCCGGGCUACAAAGCUCACCGUGUCGUAAGAAGGAAAGAGAGGAAUGAGGUCUCCCGUGUCACAACGGGUUUCGACCGAGUUAAAAAUGCAUGAUUUGAGGGAAACCAAUGAACCUUUGUAGAUAACAUGAUUUAAGGUUGACGAUGAACCUUUUGAAAAAAAAAUCGCAGUUUAAAAAUAGACUCAUGAACAUUUUAAAAGUGUGGUUUAAGAAUAGACCCACAAACUUUGUGAUUUAAGGAUAGACCCACAAACCCUGUGGUUUUAAGGAUAGACCCACGAAUCGUGUGGUUUAAGGAUAGACCCACGAACCCUGUGGUUUAAGGAUAGACCCACAAACCCUGUGAAAACCGCAUGGGUUCACCGAGGAAUCCUGUCAAACUCAACUUGAGCAAAUGUCAUUAGGGACGUCAUCAAGAGACGUAUCGACAAUAUUAUAGCAUUAAUCAAACAAGUUAAUCAAGCUAAGUUUAACUGCUUUAAAGAAAACAUUCGAUGUCAAUUAGCAUCAUGUAGCGCAAAAUUGUCAUCUUGCUCGGGGGAUGUAUCAUUAAUCAUCAAAUUCUCUGGGAGUCAAGUUCUUAUCAGAACAGCUACGACUCAUGAAAAAGACUCAUUAAGCAUGCCAAACUAAAGUUUCUUAGUCAGAAAGGGCUUCUCACACACUCUCGAUAGAAUGACUGCUUGAAUAACUGAUUGUUGAGGGUAUCUCACAUAACCCAUGUCAAAGGUUUCUAGAAACAUUCGCAAUGAGCACAAUCUGAUCGAUCAAAAAGGUCUUUUGAAAGGACUGUACUAUAUGCUCGGUUAGGGCUUACACAAAGGAAUGAUUUCUUUGAGCCCAAUAAAGAAACAUUUGUCACUAUCUUCAUCGGCUUUACAAGUCGAGAGCUUGGAAGAUGAGACAAGAUAGAAUUACUUCCACUCAUUCAAGCAGUAGCUUCUUUGUGGUAUUCUCAUUUUCACUCAAAUCAUCCCAAUCAGAAGAGGCUCCGGAAAAGGGUUAUGAUGUUGGCUUGGGAGAGGCUCGAAAGGCUUAAAAUUUUCAAUAUGGUUUUAUAGAGUCAGUGAUCAUCAUGGCAUCGUGAUCAGGUCACUCGACCUUUUGAAAGCAUUUGGCUUUUGAAAUACAACGCGUUCUCAAAAGUCCCUUGACUAAUCAUUUCUGCUUGGGAGCUUUGCCCCUUUUUUCUAAUUUCCUUUGCACUUGCAAUAAUAAUAAAAAAAUUUCUUCGCAAGCACUUGGACUGUGAUAAUUUUUCACAUAAGAUGCAGCCUUUUGGCUCUUUUUCUUGACGGGCAUUAGCAUUGCUUUUACCAGGCAUACAGCUUUUUUAUGCCCCUUAAUUUGUUGAACUUUUUGCUCUUUGAACUUUUGGAGCCCCUAUGACUUUCGAGAUGCUUUUCACAUUUUCUCAUGACUGCCAAUUGUAUUCAGUCAAUCCUUAUGCCUUGCCCCAGUGAAGGGAGAUGAUCACCGUUCGGGGGUUCAGAAAUGAACAAUCGGGCCUAAAUUGGCUAAAGCAACGGGUAUCAGUGUUUGGAUAGAGAAAGAAAUGCUCUUCUUCACAUUGGGAUGAGUCAAGCUCUAAUGAGAAUUCCUCUAAAGCUACCACCAGAAGAUUGAUGCAAGUGAAAGUAAUAAAAUCUUUUUCAAUAUUUUGCUCCGCAACACAACCGUAACCUCCUAUGUUGCCCCAAUGUAGGGUUGUCCUCGACAGGGGUAUUUUGAAUGAUCAUCUUUGCUCUACCCAAAGGGGUAGUAAGAGAUUAGUGUAAUACUUGGGGUUGGUAAAGAAAAUGCCUUUUUCAUUUCGAUCCUUGUACUUAAUGCGAAUGAAUCAUCCUUCCUAAGAGAAUGUCGCUUUUACUCAAUUCUCAAAAGUGUUUGAAGGAUGUGUUUGGAAAUGGCUUGCCUUUCUUCAUCCUAAUCACUUCUUGUUUGGCACGGUUAAUGUUUCACCUUUUUACUUGAAUAAAAUCAUUUUGACGAGCUUCCCUUUUCGAGGGUCACCGAUACAAAGCACGCAUAGUUGCACCGAAAUAGGUCAUACGAAUGAUGCCAUGUUUGUUUGUUUGUUUGUUUUUUUUUUUUUUUUUUGAUAUCGCAUCUUGCCUUUCAUUUAGGAAAAAGAGAUUCAACCGUUCGUGCAGAGACUUGAUGGAUCCUUGAAUCAACCCUUCCCUCCACCAUUUCCUCAUCGAACGGCAAGGUGCCUGAAACACAAAUAGAUAUGCGUGUAUGUGACAUAUGUCUAAUAUCUAUGAUGUAUGUAUAGUGCCAUGAGACUCGGAUUGUGCAUGAAGUGGCUCCUCGACCUUGAUUUCAAAUCAUGGAAAGUAUUUCUUGACUGCAUCAGUGUUUACAGGUCUAGACAAUUCACUACCAUCCAUUUCAAUUAAAAUCAAAGCACCACCAGGCAGAAUCUUCUCAAUGACAUACGGCCCUUCGUAGUUUGGGGUGAAUUUGCCAUGAGGGUCUGGUAUAAUUGGAAGCACUUUCCUUAGCACCAGAUCGUUGACUUCAAAGUGUCUGGGACGCACCCUUCAAUUGAAGGCCUUUGCUACUCGUCUCUGAUAGCAUUGUCCAUGACAUACAGCUUGCAAUCUCUUCUCAUCGAUCAUGUUUAAUUGCUCAUGCCUCUGUUGCAUCCACUCAGUCUCAUUGAGUGUAGAUCGAGAAAGGACGCAUAGAGAAGGAACUUUGACUUCAACAGGCAAGACCGCCUCCAUCCCAUACACGAGUGAAAAAGGAGUUGCCCCUGUGGAGGUGCGGAUAGAAGUUCGAUACGCCAUUAGCGUGUAAGGGAGUCUAUCGUGCCAAUCACGAUAAUUUUUUGUAGUCUUUGAUAGGAUUUUCUUUAUGUUCUUGUUUGCCGCCUCCACUGCUUCAUUCAUCUGAGGACGAUACGGUGACGAGUUCAAAUGCUUAAUUCGAAACUCACUAAACAAUCCAUCUACGACUUUGUUGUUCAAAUUAGUGCCAUUGUCGGUAAUGAUCGCUUCCGGCACCCCGUAACGAGCGAUAAUGUCACGACGAAUGAACUUUGCCACAUUCUUGGUAGUAACAUUAACAUAUGAAUUGGCCUCGAUCCACUUGGUAAAAUAGUCUAUCGCCACCAGGAUAAAUCGAUGCCCAUUUGAUGAAGUUCAUUUGGGGGGGCAUUUAUCCUAUCUCCAUAAAUAUGACACUGGUGACAUCGUUGUACGUGUUGAAUGCAGUCGGACUCCAUGGUCAGUCAAUAAUAACCGAGUCGCAUGAUAUUUCUCACUAAGAAGUGUCCAUUCAUAUGGGGGUCACACUCCUCUUCAUGUAUCUCCUUCAUCAAACGGUCGGCUUCUUUAGCGUCGACACACCUUAGCAAUGUCGAGUCGAAUGACUUUUUAUAGAGGACAUCUCCACUGGCAAAGAAUUUCGAUGCUAACUUUAUUAAAUGCUUUAUGUCUGCUACUUCACUUCUUUCGGGGAAUUCACCCUUCUGCAGAUAGUUCAAGAUGUCGUAAUACCAAGGCUAUCCGUCCAGUUCUUCUUCAAUCGUCAUGCAAUAAGCUGGGCGCCUAAAGAUUUCAAUUCUUACCGGUUCAAUAUCCAAGCCUCCAACUACUUGUAACAUUGAAGACAAGGUAGCUAGGGCAUCAGCAAACUGAUUUUGAGACCUUGGCAAGUAUUCAAAUGAUAUUUCUUGAAAUUCUUCCGUCAACUCCCUCAGGAACUCAUGAUACGGAAUCAAUUUAGAAUCAUGUGUUCGCCAUUCGCCUUUAGUCUGUAAGAUGAUAAGGGCUGAAUCACCAUAAACUUGCAUCUUUCGGAUCUUCAUGUCAAUAGCAGCUUGGAGGCCGAGAAUGCACGCUUCAUAUUCGGCAAUAUUAUUCAUGCAAGGGAACGUCAAUUUAGCGGCAACAAGGUAGUGCUGACCAUUUAGGGAGAUAAGAACUGCCCCGGUACCCGACCCGGCUAAAUUAACUGCACCAUCGAAGUACAUCGUCCAUUUGUCGCUUGAUACAAGUAGAAUUCGCUCCUCUACAUCACUAUCCUCAUCAGAUGUCCUGAACCUCUCGGGACUUUCUGCCAACAUGUCUGCUAUGGCGCGACCUUUAACAGACUUCUACCCCAGGCUCUGAACGUCAAAUUCUGAAAUUAAGAUUUACCACUUGGCCAACUUGCCAACCAGUGCCGGCUUCUCCAGGAGGUACCUGAUGGGAUCAUUUUCAGUCACCAACAGGAUUCGGUGAUGGAGUGUGUAUUGCCGCAACCUGUGCAAGACCCAAAUCAAAGUCACACAAGUUCUCUCAACUUCUAUGUAGUUCAUCUCGGAAGCAGUAAACUUCUUGCUCAAGUAGUAUAUCGCGCAUUCUCUCCCGUCAUUUGGUCUUUUCUGUGCUAACAUGGCUCCCAAUGAUUUGUCAUGUAUAGUCAAGUACAAAAUUAGGGGAACUUUAGGGAGAGGGGGAACUAAGACUGGUGCGUGAGUGAGAUAGUGUUUUUUCUUCUCGAAGGCACCCUGACACUCAAUAUCCCACUCAUUCUUUGCAUUCUUUUUCAGGAGCUUGAAAAAUGGCUUCGCUGUCUCAGACAACUGACAGAUGAACCUCGCCACAUAAUUAAGCCGCUCUAUCAGGCUGCGAACUUCCUUGGUGGUGGUUGGGGAUCGUAAAUCACAAAUAGCCUUAAACUUUGAUGGAUCAAUCUCUAUGCCCUUGUUACUAACUAUGAACCCUAACAGCUUCCCCGAUCUCGUCCCAAAAACACAUUUUGUGGGAUUAAGGCGUAGCUUGAAUUUCCAAAGACGUUUGAACAGUUUUUGCAAGACUCCAACGUGGUCCUCACCUCGUCUUGACUUUGUGAUCAUAUCAUCCACGUAUACCUCGAUCUCCUUGUGCAUCAUGUCAUGAAACAACGUGACCAUGGCUCUUUGAUACGUUGCCCCAGCAUUCUUUAAACCGAAAGGCAUCACUUUGUAGCAGAAAGUUCCCCAAUGAGUUAUGAAUGAUGUUUUGCUCAUAUCUUCCUUCUUCAUACGGAUUUGAUUAUAUCCAGAAAAACCGUCCAUGAAGGAGAAUAACUCAAAUCCCGCCGUGCUGUCAACCAAGACAUCGAUAUGCGGGAGUGGAAAAUUGUCUUUGGGGCUUGCUCGAUUUAGGUCACGAUAGUCAACACAUACCCUGAUUCGCCCAUCUUUCUUCGUUAUAGGCAUGAUAUUUGCUACCCAAUCAGGAUAACGUGUCACUUCGAUAAAAUCUACUUUCAGUAGCUUCAUUACUUCUUCUUCGAUCUUCUUGGACAACUCUGGUUUAGUUCUCCUGAGUCUUUGCUUCUUAGGUGGCAUAUCAGGAUCUGUUGGCAGAGCAUGCUCCACAAUUUCGGGGUCCAAUCCCGGCAUGUCGGCAUAUGUCCAAGCGAACACAUCUUGGUAUUCUUUCAGAAGAUUAGUCAUCUUUUUCGCCUCUGACUCUAAGAGACAUGCAUUGAUCCUUACUUCCCUGACAUUCUCUGCAUCACUUAAAUUCAUGGUGAUUGUUUGCUCUUCUGUCAGCGGCUUCAAUCCUUCUUGUCGAUUCCAUUCGCGUUCAAUCCCCUUCUGAUCGUCAUCGUCAGUGUCAUCGGAACCUGAGAGGCUUUCUUCAUGCACGUCCGAGUUAUAUGCAUCAUUAUUAUGAUUAUGCAUAAUGUAAUGCCUAAGAUGCGAUGAGAUGAGUUAGAGCAAUGUCAACAAUAAAGAUGAUGCAUGUCUUUUUUCGAAGAAUUUUUUUUAAGAUAUUUUUGUAAAAGUUUCAAGAACUCAUCCUCAUAUCCUCGGAUUUCCUCGUCCUUGCAAGGCAGUCAAAUAAGGGAGCAUGUGGAGACCUAGGCCUCAGUGACUAUCAUAGGACUAGUUUGAUGUGCCUCAACAUGUCCUUAAUAAAACAUGUGUCUAUUUUAUUGAAUGAGGAAAGAUAAGACCGUAUUUUAACACACACCACCCACGACCAACGGCUCAAGAUCGGGGUUAACCAUAGUUCACAUUACAAAUGACAUAAAACAAAAGACUAGGCUAGACGAGAAUCACCCUACUUUGAAGGGACAGCCAUGACUUCAGAGGACUCAGCUUCCUCGUAUGCCAGGAUGGUGCAUAUGACGUCUUCCUCGAAUAGCUCAGUCACACCAUAGAUGUCCCCUUCUUCUUCAAAUAACAUCCUUGGAGGUCCUGGAAACGUUUCUUCCAACAACGGGUGAAACGGGCCUUGAUUGCCUUCACCCUCCUCGAUUUGGGCAAUACGUUCACUCCAAUCUCUAUACCCACCUCGGCCUCCUCGGGCAUUUCGACCUCUCUGCCUUCCACGGCCCCCUCAGUUGUCACGACCACCUUGCUCGCUAUGACCUUCUCGCCCCUCAACAUAUCCUAGGCCUCUCCUCUUCGAGUUUUUAUGAGCUUCAAUGGGCUUUCACACACCCUGACCGUGUGACACAAGGCCCUCUCCAAGAUUAUACCCGCUUGCCAGCAUAAUCUUUCCCGCAGCUAUGGCCGGCUUAGACAAUUUAGGAGCUUUUGUGAAGGACCCUACAGGCACAUGGACCAUGGAUAUCAGGUCAAGGGUUUGAAAGCUGGAUUCCUCGGUACACUCAGGCUCCACAUAAGGGAUUGCUGUCUCGUGAUAGAUCUUGAAGUCGGAUUCUCCAUGGACCGUGAUAAGUCUGUUGUCCACUGCGAAUUGUACCUUCUGAUGGAGGCUGGAGGCAACAGCACCCGCUGUGUGGAUCCAUGGCCUCCCUAGCAGAAAAUUAAAAGCGCUUGGUAUAUCUAACACCUGGAACACGGCUUGAAAAAGUACAGGGCUAAUCAGCAGCUCAAGUUCAAUUUCCCCUAUCACCUCCUUCUUCAUUCCGUCAAAAGCCUGCAUAGUCGACUUGCCAGUACGGAUUCUCCCAAGAUCAAUGCCAAGAGGGUGGAGAGUAGCCAACGAGCAUAUAUUGAGCGUCGAACCGUUAUCGAUCAAUGCUCUGCAAACAAGAGUGCUUUCAUGUUUCACCCAGAUGUGUAGCGCUUUGGUAUGAUUAGGACCAUCCGGGGGGGGGGGGAUCUUCAUCAGUAAAGGAAAUUUGGUCUUUCAGUAGAACGGCCUCAACAAACUCCUCCAAUUGGACUUCAUGGAUUGAUUCUGGCACGUGCACCUCAUUAAGGACUUUCAGCAAGAUGUCCCUAUGCUUCUCGGAAGAUUUGAAUAAUUCCAGGAGGGAGAUUUGAGUUGGCAACUUUCGAAGUUGAUCCACCACGUUGAACUCACUGAACUUUACUAUAGCCAAAAAUUGUUUUGCCUCCUCCUCGGUCACGGCCUUCUUUUCUACUCCCUUAUUAGGUGCAUAACAGCGGCCUAAUCACGUGACAGUAUCUACCUCAUUUGUUCCAUAACCCCAAGGUACAGCUUUAGGAUCGAAUUUAGGAGGAUACUCCAGCAUUAUCAUUCCAUCUUUCUCCUGGGGAGGCAAUUCAAUCAUAACCGGUGUUGCAUUCCCUCCCAUGACUUUGAUUGUCGACAUCUCCUGGACCAUAAGGUCGAUCACCAUGGGUUCAGCGAUUCCCAUCUCAAUAUUGUCAGUGGGCUCUUCAUCAGAUAGUUCAAUCACCAUUGGGGUUAUCAUAGCUAUCACUCCUUCCUCAUACAAAGCUAGGGUCUUUGAAAUUCUAAGCAUAACCUUCCUCGCUCGAGACAUAUCAGCAAAGUUGCAGAAAGAUGAGCAGAAUGACGAUGGCAUUAUCACGGUUACAACCCUCUCUUUCUCUUCUCCGCAUCGGAUUACCCCCAUGACUACCAUCCUGCGGACGCAGUUCAGUUUUUCUUCUAGGGUCACAUCCUCCUGACCUCCAUAGUAUCCCGCUAGCACUAGGGACUCAUACAGCUGGGAAGCAUCCACCACUAGAGGCUGUUGACUUGCCCACGUGUCCUCAAAAAUUGAGUUAACUCCCCCUUCAUGAUUUGGUAGGGGGUUUUGCUGCACGUUAGGCUAAGCCUCCCUGAAAGUCAAGAUCUUCUUAUCUAGAAGCUGUUGAAUUUUGUAUCUCAGCACAUUGCAAUUAUCUAGAUCAUACCCCACUUCUCCUAUAUGGUAUUCAUGGGUCUUGGUCAUAUCGAAACCGGCGAACCUUGGGGGAUUGUCUAUUGGCACUUCCUUCGCAACCAUCCUCUUUUCAAGGAGCAUGGGCAACAGCUUUGAUAGCAGGCGUGGUAGUGGGGAAAAUUCCUUUCGAAAAGGCCUCUUGUUGUUAUCAUAUGCUCGUGAUGAGCUACCUUGAACCAUCAUAGGCUUGUGCGCGGGUGUGGCGGACGUUUGAGGGAAAGGCGGCCCUUGCACAAGUGCUACUUCAACUGUGGCCUCCUUAUCUUUUCUUGCUGGGAAUUUCUUCGUGCAUCCAGUUGAAAUCUUUCCUUCAACCAUUACCCAUUCAACUCCUUCACCUACCUCAACUAGCUGUGAAAAUGUCUGGCAACCCGAGAACGCUUAACCCUUGGAAAUAUUCAGAGGGCAAUGUCUUGAGGAACAGUUGCUUCAUCUCCCUCUCAUUCAAGGCCAGCUUCACUUGUGAGGCCAUAGUCCUCCAUCUUUGCGUAAAGGCUUUGAACGACUCAUUCCUCUUCUUCUCGAUGCGAGUCAACUCUUCCCUUGUGGGGGCGAGCUCGGUGUUAAACCGAUAUUGCUGCAAGAAUUCAUUAGUUAAAUCAUCCCAACUAGUGAAUUCUUCAAUGUCCAGCACAAUGAACCACGUCAGGGCAAUGUCUUCCAAACUAUCUUGGAAUGUGUGUAUGAGGAAUGGCACGUUGUCAGCAUAGCGAGCCAUUUUCCUCAUGUAAUACCUAAGGUGGGUCCUUGGGCAUCCCGUUCCGUCAUACUUUCUUGUGAACUCAGGUUCCUGGAAAUUCUCAGGAAAACUUGUCUUGGUGUAUGGAGAUAGCCUAUCAGCUCCUUUCAGCUCGUAACCUUGCAAGACACAUAAUCGCUCUUCCAUCUUUACCAAACGUUUUUCACUAUCUUCACUUAGGCGGGGUGUUGGGUUUUCUUUUGGAGGAGGAUCCAGAUUGACGAUGAUUGGCGUGACAGAAGGAGCUUCUCCGGUAAUUUCUUUCCCGGGGAGAUUAGCAACGUGCGUGCCUCCCGUCGAUGGGGAAGCGUGUCUUGAUAACGUAGGAGUGGACGUUCUAGUGACAGCUAUAGUGGGGGGGUUCCUUAAGCUUCUGGCUUAUUUCAAGCAUCAUUGCGGUGAGUUGGGCCGGCUGGUCCUCCAUCUUUGCCAUGCGCAUGUUGGUGUCAUCGUUCUCCAUUUUGACUUUUGUGCGCGUGCGAAUUAGAGAUCUCCGCUUGGCCGUGUCAACGAUUAGUAGAAGACAAUCGAUUGGUUAGUACCUGAAGCAAAGGUAGAUAAGCAUAUAUAAGUACAAGUAAUAAUUAGGCGGUCGGCCCACGACAAAGAUCUAAUUGCCCCAAUUUGUUCGUUUCAUUCAAAGCUAGGUUGCCACAUAAUACAAGAAAAACAUGAUAGAAAACCCCUACAAACAAAGCUACUUCGAAAAUGGAAAGACAUUCUUUUAACUCCCAACAUUGAGACUUGAGACAAAUUCUUUAACAUUGCAAUGCAUGUGAGUAUGGUCCCGCUACAAAUCACACUUGACUCAAUCUAACUAAUAAGGAUGGUUUCCGCUCGUGGCAGCUCCACUAACUCGGGUUAACUUCAAAGUACGUUCCUCUGCCUCCUCGAGCUCCCUUUUGAGGCGCUUGAUCUCGGCUCGAUGGGUGAUCUUUAAUGGCACUUCAAGAAUCUUCAGGCGGAGGCUCUCCGGGAUCUUGUGCUUAAGGAUGUACUCCUUCGAGGCAUAAUAGGUCUUCUCUUGCCCCUCCAACUCUUCUUCAGGCCAUAUCAGCUUCCGGGGGUGGCACGUAUCCCACAUCGACUUGACCAACGCGACAGAGUCCUCAUGAUCUUGGCAUCCGUCAAGGAAGUCUAUCCUAAGCGGGUCUUCCUGAAUUGACGGUGGAAGCUGUUGAACCUCUUGAAACUGUCGGGUGACUCGUGUCGGGUAAUAUUCGAUGACUCUAGUGAUUCCCAACAAAGGAAUAGGUCCCGUAAGCCCACACACGAAUCGCGCUUUUUGAACUCGAAGUCAUUUGGCAUGCCAUUGGAAAUCCUCAGGUCCGGGGUUGGUCAUGAAAACUAACCACUCAGAAUAAUGAUAAUCAAGGGCAAACAUUUUCCUAUCUCUAAACUUUAGGAUAGGGUGGCUAGAGUUAGAAAUGUCGCUCACAGUCAUCAAGUUACCGAACCCCUUCAUGUGAGAAAAGAACUAAAUUUGUAAGAGUUCAGGGGGAGAAUAGAAAGCUUUGUUUUUGUUUUCUUUAAAACGAGUAAGGGAAAGAAAUGUUUCAAUUAGGACGGCAUUAACAAAACCAUUUCCCAUACAUACUUCACGAACUACCCAUGCCACGGAGGGGUUAAUAGCGUUCCUAUAAUGCGAGAAUAAUAUAAACCCGAAGAAAGCUAAGAGGAAAAUCCUAUUCUUUUGAAAAGAUUUGGCAUUUUGAAAAAGCUCAUUUAAAAAUGAAAAUGGGCAGGUCUUGCGAUUAGCUUUUAAAAAUUUCCUCGCAUCCUCUUCUUUAAUUUUAAGGAAAUCAAAUAAGGUCAAUGCAUGCUCAGUCCCUAUAGGUGGGCUAACUAACUUGAACACCAAGGGCUUUCCAAUGGCAACGCCGUAUUCUUCCAGGGUGUUGGAGUGAGUUCGUGAUCACCGAGUAUGAACGUGCAAGUUGCGGGGCAUAAAAAAUGCGCUAACGCUUGCACAACACCAUAAUGAGUUUCUAUCUCCAAUAGGAGAAGUAAACGUCCAACAUAUGAUCGCACCCAAUCACGGCCUAUUGGAUCUAAUCUAUUCCACCACUCGCGAAGCUCGGCUUUCGGGACGGAGAUGAUGCGAAGGUCGGAUACCCCCAUCGUAUGAUCAACCUAAUUUGUCGUGGACCGGCCAAAAUCAAAACAAAUAAGUAAAUUACGAUGAAAAGAAUUCAAGAAAAACCUACCCUACUCAUUGAGCAGCGAUGUAAAGGUCAUAGACAUGCGCAUGGACAGUGGUUCAAUUUCUACUCUAGAUGGCCCAAAAUGAAGCCAUGGGAUCACGGGAUUGAACCAACAAGCUCGUGGCUAGGUCGUGUUACCCAUGACUCCGGCUUCGUCAAAGAACCGACCCGUGUCGCAUGCUCGCAGACCAAGGUGGGGACCUCUGACAUCAAGAAAGAAAUUUCGGGGUUGAGAUGGGCGACUCGUACUACAUGCUUGUAGUCGAAAUGGUAUCCACCUCAACACCAUCCUAUGUGAUCCUAUGCGGCCCAGGUCCGGCGGCAGGUUGUGUGUGCUAAAGUGUAGUGCAAUGCAGGAGAUGCAGGCAUGACAAUUCAUAAGCAAUCAACACUUCAUACAUGAACAAUAAACCAUACAUUCCUUCACCUCCCUACAAGACAAAGGUGAGCAAACACUUUCCCUUAUACCUCACAUUCUACAAAAACAUUUAACACCUUUAAUGUUAAGGACAAACCUGAAAUCUUCGCUGCCAAACAAAAAUAUUUAUGAACAAGAUUAAUAUUGGUCUAAGUUCUCUAAGGUUUAAAACCAAGUCCCCAGCGGAGUCACCAAGCUGUCACGACCUACCCUCAGGGGAGGGAACAGGUUUAAGGAUAUUGCCUAAGUGACGGGUCUAAUGCCCAUGGUCAAGUGCGGGCUCUCCCAAGCCCAUACCCCGCAUGACAUUAGGAUAUUCUUUAGAUAUUUGCACAAAAGGAGUCGCCAUUAGUCUAUUGGGGUCGGCUAGAAACCAAGUGAGGAACACUCACUUCCUACGCAACUAGAGAAUUUAGGGUCGGGGACUUGAUUACAUUAAUUGAUCAAUUAAUGCCAUUUCGAUACCUAAACUCGUUCAUUUUAACAAAAUGAUUUUUGGCAAGCAAUUUGGAUUGAUUUUAUACCUAUACACUAACAUACGAAGUGAUCAUGCAGAUGCACAAACAUUGAAAUAACAAUCAUAGCUAUCAAGAUCCUAAUUGUAGUAAAAUUAAAUACGUGCAAUUAAACAUAAUUAGAUAUGCAAAUUAAACAUGCAACAUAUAAUCAAAACACAAGCAACUAAAUGCCUAAUUACACUAAAAAUACAAAACAUAGCAAUUCCUAAAGAAACCCCAUCAUUUUUUAAUUUCCGAAAUUUCUUAAUUAAAUAUUUUUAAAUUUUUAAUUGACUUUUUUAAUUAAUUUUUAAAAAAAUUUAAAAAAAAAUAGUUGUUUUAAAAAAAAUUAAAUUUUUUUAAUCUAUAUAUUUUUUUUCGAAAUUGUUUUCUCUUUUUUUUUAGAUAUUUUUUUUUGGGACCGGACCGGGUCGGGUCGAGUCUAACUGGGUCCGACUCAACCGGGCUCGGCCCGACCGAGUUAGGCCCGACCUUCCCUGGUCGAGCCCAACUUAACUCAACUUGGGCCCGAGAGUCGGGCCCAAGCGAAACAGGAGUCGAGUGGGCCAGAUCUGGGAUCUGGCCCACUCGACUAGGUAGUCGCGACCAGGGGCGCCGAGAAGACACACGCCGGUGAUGGCGCUGCUGUGGCCAAGCAGGGUGAGCGUGCGGCUUCCCUGGCUACAACAGCGUCCCUCCGGCAAUCAGGGGUCCUAGGGCUCCAUGUGGAGGAGCUUCGGAGGGAGAGAGCCCACUUGGGCAUUAUGGCGAACAGGUAGAUGGCAUGGGCGAACCAGGAGGCUUCUGACCUAAACCGGACCCGAGGCGGCAACGGCGGUGACCAGCAAGCAAACAACAACAGACAGGAACCUAAGGGGGACCUACGGAGGCUGGAGGUCGCCUGAAACGGACGGAACGAACUCCGGCCAACUCAAGCUCAAAAUGCACGCCAGGUAUUCGAUGAAAUGCCAACCUGAGUUCCGACGGGAAUUGCAGCUUGGAAGACGUGUCUGCGGCGGUGGCGGCGGCAAUUGCAGUCCGGAGAUGCGUCAGCGGCGGUUGCAGCGGUCGGGAGACACGUCGACGGCGGCGGCUUCGUUGAGUUCCUCCUCCUUUUGCUCCCUGUUUCUCUCGCUUUCCCCCUGUUUCUCUCUCUGUUUCGCCUUCUGUUUUCUCUCGAUUUCUUUUUUCGUCCUCUGUUUUUCCUCUUUUUUAUGUCUUUUUCCCCCCUCGGCCUCUCUCUAGAUCUCUCCCUUUUGUCAAUCGUUCGGCUCGCACGCGCGUGCGAAUCGGCUCUGACAUCUCUUGCCGCUUCCAACGCUCGCCUGCCCCGCAAGAUGAUGUUGUCUCCUCUGCCCCCUACCCCUAGUUUCGGCUUCGCCAUUUCCCCAUGCGAACGCCUACUUUCCGCUUUCCUCUUCGCUGAUUCCUCACGUAGCAGACGGCUGAGGGAGAAGACAACGAGGCGGGUCGGGCUGGAGGGAAGAAGAGGACUGGCCAUUUAACGGGAAAAGAAAAAAAGAAAAAGGAAAGGGGAGGGUUUGAGCCCAGGCCCACGCGGGGUGAAAAUUAAAGGAAAAUGGGGCCGGGUCGGGCCAAGGCCGGACAGCUAUCGGCCAAUCAAACAACUGAAUAUCAAAUCGUGUAGCAACUUUCAUAAGCGUAAUGGAACAACACAGUUCAACUUAUUUCAGUAGGUAGUCUAAAGACAAGAACCCAAAUCGGCAAUAGUGACCAGGGUCCGGACGAUUGUUUAUCCAAAGCACAGCUCUCCGCAAAGCCAUGCGAAUGUGGAGUAGAUAAAUCUAUUCUCUAUUCUAAAGGAGGGUUUUAAAGCUCCAAUUAUUGGCACUCGUCUCACUCUAGUGGGUUUGAUCUGGGUUUGUUAGAGGAAACUCUAUUUUAUGAAUUUUCCCUUUUCCUUGUCAUUCUAAGUUCUUUUAAUAUGAAGUGCGAUCCAUUUUAGAUCUUUUUAACUUCAUAAAUUUGAUGCUAAUCUAAUUUAUUUUCGCAUAAGUACAAGCGAUUAGAGGUUUGUUUAAUUUUGGGGGACAAUGUUAGUUUCCUCUUUCUUAGAAUUUUUUUUCCAAAAAAUACAAAACCUAUUGUAUGAUAAUCAAUUUAAUCUUGAACUUUUUAAUUUUACCAAUUAAGUGCUAAAACCUUUCGAUAACUUGCCAAUUCAAUUACAAACUUUUUAAUUAUACCAAUUUAAUCAUAAACAUUUUAAAGAUUUCCCAAAUUAAUCAUAAAUAUUUUAACAAAUUGACAAUUUAGUCAUUCUAGGUAAUUUGAGCAAGAUAUUACUGACAUAGCCGUUUAGUCAAUGCUAAUUGUUCCAUGUGACAGAGCUAACAUUGAUGUGAAUAAUUUAUUUAAUUUAUUAAUUUUUAAUUUUUAUUUUUUAUCUUUUUUUUUUAUCUUAUUUAUCUUUUAAGAGAGAGAGAGAGAGAGAGAGAGAGAACCAAGAGGCCACCGGCAACCUUGCUAGCCCCUGGGCGAAGGUCAUGGAGCCCUUGCCCCGCCCCUUGUUGGCCAUGGUAAGGGCAGGUGAGGGCUGUGAUAUGCUCAUUGUGGCUUGCAAGAGCUUGGCAAAGGCUGUGAUGCCCUUGUCCGAUUUGGUGGGGGGAGGGCGUUGCAACCCUCGCUAGGCAUAGGGAGGGCUUAUGAGUCCUUGCCUAGUGGCCAAAGGAGUCAUUGGCCCUUGCUUAGUGGUGGGCAGCCUCCUAUCCUAAGUUUUUUGGGCAAAAAAGAUGGACAAAAAAUAAAAUAAAAAAUUUUCAGAAUUGUUUUUAAAAAUUAAAAGACUAUUUGUAUGAGGGUCAAUCUUACCACAUAAGAUGAUUUGCAUUGGUUAGACCACUACGUUAAUGAUGUAUGGCUAAAAUUAGUCAAAAUAGCAAAAUUGACAAUUUGUUAAAAUGUUUAGAACUAUGAAAGUUUUAGGCACUUUCAAUGCGAAUUACGAUCAUCAAUUGCACAACAAUUAAGGCAUAGGACUGAUUAAGUAAUGAGAUUGAUAGUUAUAACCGAUCUAAGAGCAUCUGAAAUAGUCACUUCACAAGAUGGAGAACAUAUAGUAGCUCAGGAACAGGGACGGUAACAAAGAGAGGCCUUCUUCCUUCGACUGUUUUUUUAGCUCCGAUAGCUAUGCAAAUCGUAGUCCAUAAUUCUCAAGAGAAAAAACGAAACAUAGGAAGGAUUCCGAAGAACGUCCAAAAACCUGAAAUGUACUCAUGGACCUGACCAGAACCUUGGCACAACAUCAACCAGCAUGCCUUUCUUAUAUGCGACAUGGUGCAUGAUGGUUUUAUUAAUGUGAUGGGCCUAAGUUGGCUCGUCUGCCCAUGUUGGGCCUAAAAGCCCGGCCCACAAGAUUAGAGCCCAUGGAUGGAGGGAUAUGAUGAAGGGGCGCGUUUCUUUUUGGAGGAGACGUAUAUAAGGGAGAAAAGAGAGGGAAGAAUGCACCUUUUGGCAUAUUACGUACGUUCCCUCCUCCCUCUCUCCCUUGAAACACCUCCAAAAGAAAAACAAACGCAAAAAGGCGACGCCAUCUUCCCUUCAAGGCCAAUUGACGUCAUCGGAUCGAACGGAAUCGUUUUCUCUUCCUCAUAUCGGCGUCGGUGUUUAAUCUGUGGCUAACAAGGUACGCUCGAUUCCGUGGUGUGCUUUAGGAUCGGUGAUACAUGUGUUUUUCCCGGGCUCGUCUUCCGCAUAAGUUUAGGGGUUCGAUUUAGUGUCGAAUCCGGUUUUUGGUAAUUCGACAAACCCAACAUUGGUAUCAAAGCCGUAGUUCUUGUUUCCCGAUCCUUUUUCAUGUUUUUCCCGACCCCUUUCAUGUUUAUGGAUGAUUUGUUAUUGAUUUUUUCGUGAAAAUAAUCGGCCGACACCGAUCGGGGCGAAAAUCCCAACACCCGUGCACUGGUCAUCCAUUUUUUCGAGUUUCUGUAACUCAAAAUCGAUUUCUGAUGGCGUUGGAUGGAAGGUCUCGUCGAGACGAGCGUAGCGAGUGGUGGAAUGCUGCCAACGGUCGCUGGACGCGCCCCCACACGCAGCCGGAACGAACCGGUGUCUUUGGCGCGUGCGUUGCACGCGCCGAUUCACUAGGGAAGGUGCGUUCAUCGCACGCGCACUUGCGGCCAACGCACGCGCACGCACGUGCGACGCACAUGCGCGUGCGCAGUCGCUCGUGUGUGCGAGGCACGUGCUGGGUCGAUUUGUCCAACCUGGCCCAACCGGUCUGUUCGGUUCGACCGGACCGACUGGUCCGACUAGCCCACCCGACGACCGUUGACUGUUGACCACCGUUGACCGUUGAUCGUUGACCCAAAAAAAAAAAAAGAGGAAAAGAAUGUGUUUCUUUUUCCAAUUAAGUUUAUAUAGACUAUAUGUGAUCCCUUAUUUGUUAUGCAUUUGUUGCAGGAACAAUGCCUCCCCUUAGGUUGCGCACACAUAUUCGUGCAAUUACUGAUGAACAAAAGGAAAUGCUUUCUAAGUUGAUAGCUGAGCUGACUGAUCAUUGAUGGGAGAGUGGUGACUUAAUUGAUCAUGUUCUUGAAGUCAACAGGAAAAUUCAAAAGGUCAUAUGGAAUGGUCGUCCCUUGCCAUAGUCUGAGAUGGUGCGAUUUUUCAUGAACAUUCUUCCACCAAAAUGGCGAGUGUUGAAUCGCAUAUGGGAUGUCAACAGAGCCGCUUCAUAUAGGAAAAUUGUGAUAGAUUUUAUAGAUGAAUAUUACUGGAUUGUUACAAGGGAAAAGAUCAAGAAAUUGAACAAAAGAGGAUCUUUUCCAAUUCGUGUAUUAACUUGGUGUUAGAUGUAUUGGUUGGCCUUUGCUAAGUGUGCUUUGUGGAUAUCUUAUGUAAUGUUUACUAUCUAAUUGUGUUGUUGAUGUAGCGACUGAUAUGUUAGUUGUAUUAUAUGAAAGCAUUAUUAUUCUAUAGGAUGUCAAAUAUUAUUUGCUUUCUGUUAUUAUUGAUUGAUGUGGGUAGUUAAUAGAAGUUAUUUGUAACUUCAUAGAAUUUAUUUUGCAUAAGACAAUUAUAUUAAUGAUAGUUUUAAGUUAGGAUUUUUGGAGGAUGAUUGGAAACAUAGUGACCUCUUGAUUCUGACACCUUACUUGAAAUUGUUCAUUAAUAUGAUGGGUUUGUGCAAAAUGGAUGCAUAAAUGAUAGGUAUUAAUAAUUCGUGCAUAUAUGUCUGAUGUGUUCAGAUCAAUGGCUUCAGCCACAAAGAGCAUAGUUGCCGAGCUAAACAAAGGUGAAAAGCUCAAUGGCGAUAACUAUGAAAUCUGGCACAUGAAAAUCCAAUAUGUGCUAGAAGAGCAAGAGGCACUAGAGGCUCUUAACCUGACCAUGGUAGAACCUGAAGAAGGAAAUACUGCACAGCACAAGAGAGAUAAGGAAGCAUUCGCUGCAUGGAAAAGAAAGAACUCUCUUGCUCGCAUUACGUUGCUGAGCAGCAUGGACAAUGACUUCAUGCGAGAGUUUAGGCGUUUUGACAAUGCCAAGGAAAUGUGGGAAGCAUUGGCAGCAAGAUUUGGUCAUACUUUGGUAACCAGACUGAGACAGUUCACUAUUAGAUUUGACUCUUAUAAGAAGCCUCAUGGUCAGACCAUGAAGCAACAUCUUAGAAAGAUGUCAAACAUGAUUAAUGAGUUGAAAGAUACUGGCCAUAUCCUCACUGAUGAGCAGCAAGUGCAAGCAGUGAUUCGUUCCUUGCCUCAGAGUUGGGAGCAUAUGAAGGUGCACUUGACUCAUAAUGAUAAUAUCAAAACCUUUGAGGAUGUAGUGCGUCAUCUUGAGCUAGAAGAGGACUGCCUCUUGGCAGCUAAGUCGGAAGUUGAAAUAUAUCAUGCUGGUUCUAGCUCACAUGGAGCUUCGAGCUCUAAGCGCAAACGUCUUAACUGGUUUGAUAAAGAGAAAGUCAAGGAAGCAGGUCCUUCGGGGAAGAAACCUAAGUUUAACCAACAUGAAAGAGGAAAGCGUCCUCGAAUGAAGAAGCUUACAAGGGUGAAAUGUUACAAUUGUGACAAGAAUGGUCACUAUACUCGCGACUGUCGUGAGCCAAAGAAGGUAAACACCCCUUGUACUUUUAAGAACUUUGUCUAUGUGUUGAGUUUUGUGUUCUUAACUGAGUCUAAUCCUUUGUGGACUGUAGAUUCAGGAGCGACAGAUCAUGUAGCGAAGGAUAGAGAAUCAUUCGUGGAAUUCCGACGAGUACCAACUGGAACUAAGUGGGUCUAUGUGGGAAACAACUCCAGAGCUGAAGUGAAAGGAAUUGGCACCUGCCAACUGAACAUGCGUGGUGGACGCAUUUUGUUCCUAUAUGAUGUAUUGUAUGCUUCGGAAAUUCGUCGGAAUUUAGUGUUUGUUUUAGUGUUGGUUAAGCUGGGUUUUAAUAUGAACUUCCAUAAUAGAGGUGUGGAUUUGUUUUUGGAUACAAAUUACUAUGGUUGUGGUUAUUUUCUGGAUGGUUUCAUUGUAUUAGAUAUUGACUAUGUUAAUGCAAAUGUUUGUUAUUCCCUUCUCAUGUCUCAUAAUUUAUAUGAUAAUGAUGUGAAUGUGUGGCAUGAUAGACUUGGUCAUAUUGGCCAACAACGUAUGAAUAGACUAGCCAAAGAGAGCUUGUUGGGCAACAUUGAAAAAGUCGAUUUGUCCAUAUGUAAGCAUUGCCUAGAAGGGAAAACAAUAAGAAAACCAUUUGGAAAAGGUAAAAGAGCUGAAUUUCCUCUGCAUUUAAUCCAUUCUAACGUAUGUGGUCCAAUGAAUGUGAGAGGAAGGCAUGGGGCUAUUUAUUUCAUCACUUUUAUAGAUGAUUAUACUCGAUUCGGAUAUAUCUAUUUGAUUUCUCAUAAAUCUGAAGCAUUGAGUUGUUUCAAAAGGUUUAUGAACUUAGUAGAAAAUCAAUUAGACAAGAAAAUAAAAGCAUUAAGAUCUAAUUGAGGUCGAGAAUAUUUAUCUGAUGAGUUUAGAAAAUUAUGUGAUGAAAAGGGAAUAGAAAGACAGUUGUCUAUUCCAUAUACUCCUCAACAAAAUGGUGUUGCGGAAAAAAGAAACAGAACCCCACUGGAAAUAAUUAAGUCCAUGAUGGCGCAUGCUAACUUACCUAUCACUUUUUGGAGUGAUGCGUUGUUAACUGCUGCCUAUAUACUUAACCGGGUGCCUUCCAAAUCAGUUACUUCCACUCCAUAUGAGUUAUGGACAGGUAGAAAACCGAACUUAAGUUUUCUUAAGCCAUGGGGUUGUGCUGCCUAUACUCAUGAGUCCUCUCACAAGUUUGGGAAAUUGAGUCCCAGAGGAAAUAAGAGUAUUUUCAUAAGAUACUCCGAACACUCGAAAGGGUAUGUGUUCAUAGGUGAGCAAGAAAGUGAGAGUAUAACUGAAUUUGAAUCACGGAAUGUCACAUUCUUAGAGGAUGAAUUUCCUAAGAAUGGCGAAAUAGGGGAAGAUUACUCCCUAUUCGAAACCUUGGAUCAAGAUAAUGAUAUUAAUGGAGUUUGUCCAAGUGGGAGUAAUAUGAGAAGUGAUGAAUUGAAUUCAACUCAUUCUCAAUUGCAACCACAUGAUGAGACGACGUCAUCAUUAUCUAAUCCUAGUGGGAGCAUAAUGGGGAAUGAUGUACAAAGUGUACAAUCUCCCAUACGGCGAACAAGUCGCCAAAGUGUUCCCCAUCGACGUUUUGACAUUGAAGGGGAAACUUUUAUAAUUGCUCCACGAGAUGAGGGUGAGCCAAGAAAUAUUAAUAAUGCUCUAAAUUGCCCUAGUAAGGAAAAAUGGAUUCAUGCAAUGGAAGAGGAAAUGGAGUCAAUGAAGUCAAACCAAGUUUGGGAACUGGUUGAUCUUCCAAAGGGACGCAAAGCUAUUGGGAACAAGUGGGUUCUCAAAAUAAAGCGAAAAGCUGAUGGCUCGAUAGAAAGGCAUAAGGCUCGCCUUGUGGCGAAGGGGUAUAACCAACAGGAAUGAAUUGAUUAUGAAGAAACAUUUUCUCUUGUAGUGAGAUUUACCUCAAUUCGCAUUAUUCUGGCAAUAGUGGCUAAUAUGGAUCUUGAGUUACAUCAAAUGGAUGUAAAGACUGUUUUCCUCAAUGGAGAAUUAGAGGAAGAAAUAUAUAUGGAACAACCUGCUGGUUUCAUAAUAAAAUGCCAAGAAGAAAAUGUAUGUCGACUUUUGAGAUCGAUAUACGGCCUUAAGUAGUCGUCAAGACAAUGGUAUAUAUGUUUUCAUAAUGCCAUAAUGGCAUAUGAUUUUACAAUGAUUGAUGGUGAUCAUUAUGUAUAUAUCAAAAGAUCCAAGGAUCAAUUUCUGAUCAUAUCAUUAUGUGUUGAUGAUAUACCAAUUGCCGGAAGUAAUAUGGAGUUUGUUAACACUGUCAAGAGUUGGUUGUCUUUCAACUUUGAGAUGAAGGAUAUGGGUGAGGCUGCAUACGUUCUUGGAGUUAAGAUUUCAAGAGAUCGUUCGAAAAGAUCGUUAUCUCUUUUGCAAGAAAUAUAUAUAUAAAUAAGGUUCUUGAACGAUUUCGUAUGCAAGAUUGUAAACCCAUAGAGACUCCUAUUGCAAAAGAUGAAGGAUUGAGCCAUAGACUGUGUCCAAAGACUCCACAAGAGAAGGAACAAAUGAAACAUGUUCCUUAUGCUAGUGCUGUUGGAAGCUUGAUGUACGUUAUGAUGUGUACAAGACCUGACAUAUGUUUUGCAGUUGGAAUUGUGAAUAGAUACCAAUCCAAUCCAGGUCAAGCAUGUUGGAAAGCCGUUAAAAGAAUACUAAGGUAUCUAAAGGGAACUACUGAUUAUACACUAAGUUAUCAAUGAAAGGAUUUGCGACUCUAAGGUUAUUCUAAUGUUGAUUAUGGAGGAGAUUUAAAUGAAAGGAAAUCUACCUAUGGCUUUAUUUUCUUACUAAAUAAUGGCGACAUAUGUUGGAGCAAUAAGAAACAAACGUAUAUAGCCUUGUCCACGAUGGAAGUUGUGUUCAUGGCAUUAUCAGUAGCAGUAUAAGAAGAUGUUUGGCUUAAGAGAUUUUUGGAUCAUUUAGGUGUUAUUAGAAGUGCUGCAGAUUCAUUAUUGGUUAAUUGUGAUAGCCAAGCAGCAAAAGCAUACACCAAAGAUCCAAAAUAUUAUGGCAAGACCAAACAUAUAGAUACCAAGUAUAACUUUGUCAAAGAUAUGGUUGCACGAAAAGAUGUGAACUUACAGUACAUAUUACGCAUAGAAUGGUAGCAAAUCCUAUGACAAAGCCAAUACCUAAAGAUAUGUUUUGUGGCCAUAUGAAAUUUCUAGAAUUGCGUAGAGGCUGAUGUACCGAAUAUUAUAAUUUCCCUAAGUGCUCAUAUUUGAUGAAUUUGUGUUUUCAUCAUUAAUGUCUAUGAAUCUUUGUUUGAUCUUUAUGCAUCUUAAUGCUCAGUGCAUUACUUUAAGUUGAGAAAGUAUGUCAGACAAAUAUUAGAUUGGCCCACUCACAUGGGUAAUCGCCUCUAUUUACUAUGUGAUAAAUAGAGAUGAGACUGUUUUUAAGCUUAUUAUCUAGGUGAUAAUUGAGAGCUCAAGCUUAAAAUACGUAUGUCGCCUUAACUGGGUGUUAAGAUGAGGACAUAAUACUUACUAUGUCCGAAAGUAAAAUAACCCACAUAUUUUACUUUAUCUGUCUAUGAUGACGGAUGUGAGUUCUGAUGAAUUUUGUGAAUGAGUAGAUACGUGAACUCAAGUUAGACAUUGGGUAUGUCUGAACUAUCAUUUGUACGGUAUUGAAGGUGUAGACAUACGCUCCAUGGGAAAGGAGUUAAUACCGUAAUACGUAUUUCAUACUACGUAUGCAUGAGACGACCAAUAAGAGUGGCAAAUGUUUGAUCUCAACUUUUAUGCCGUGUGAGACUCUUGAGAAAAAGAAUUCCUCAAGUUUAGUGCCCUAAUGACUUUUACUUAUUCUCAAGAUUUCUAUUUAGUGUUUGUUAUCUUAGGAUGUUGCCAAUGGUCAUGAGUAGAUUCGAUCUAAUGGGACAUUUUUGGAAAAGCAAGCUAAACUGAAAUUGAGAGUUUGAAGGAAAGAGGAAGAUCGAAUUUAGAGAAUCACAUUCUAAGUUUUGUAUUCACCGGUCGACAAAUUAUGACUAUCUUUGAAAUAAUCAUAAUUGUGAAUACAAUAUAUAUCAUUGUUUAAAAGAGAUUAAGAGAGAUAUAAAUGUGAUCGAUCGAUCUAGGGUACUGCAUACUAAAUCUACUCAGAGUGUGAUGCCCAUUAUGAGCUGCUAUAUAUUCCUAAUAGAUGUAUAGCAACGAGCUCUCAAAGUAUGCUGGUCACACGGAUUAUUCACCAGUAUGAAUGUUGAAAAGAGGUAAAGAGAAUCAUGUUCGGUCCACCAUGUGCGAGUGGGAGAUGAUGGUUUUAUUAAUGUGAUGGGCCUAAGUUGGCCUGUCUGCCCAUGUUGGGCCUAAAAGCUCGGCCCACAAGAUUACGGCCCAUAGAUGGAGGGAUAUAAUGAAGGGGCACGUUUCUUUUUGGAGGGGACGUAUAUAAGGGAGAAAAGAGAGGGAGGAACGCACCUUUUGGCAUAUUACGUACGUUCCCUCCUCACUCUCUCCCUUGAAACACCUCCAAAAGAAAAACAAACGCAAAAAGGCGACGCCAUCUUCCCUUCAAAGCCAAUUAACGUCAUCGGAUCGAACGGGAUCGUUUUCUCUUCCUCAUAUCGGCGUCGAUGUUUAAUCUGUGGCUAACAAGGUACACUCGAUUCUGUUGUGUGCUUUAGGAUCGGUGAUACAUGUGUUUUUCCCAGGCUCGUCUUCCGCAUAAGUUUAGGGGUUCGAUUUAGUGUCGAAUCCGGUUUUUUGGAAUUCGACAAACCCAACAGUGCAAGAUGAGGAGAAGACUCCACAAAGUGUCCUCUCAGAACAUAGAACUAUAACAAAACACAGAAGUCCCUUACAUGCAUAGGAUCGCAAACAAAGAUAGCAAAUUCCAACAGCCACAUAGCAGGAAGGAAACGGGGGUCUAGCAAGAGCAGAAGCACAUUCCCCUACUCUUUGCCCCUCGCGUUCUUGCUUUCCAAGAUGAAGGCACACGACUUUCGUGGGUCGGUGAGAGCUUUGGACGCGCUCUCCUUCUCCAAGCAUCUCUUGCCCCACGCGGCGAGCUCGGGGUAUUCGGCUUCGAUGCUGAAGUCCCCACAUGUCUCGUAGGUGGAGAACCAGCAGUAGAAGCCGAUGAUCGCUAUGUCCAAGAACCCGAACUUCUCGCCCCCGAAGAAAGCCCGGUCCCCAAGCUCACUUUCUACCAGUUUCAGGCAUUCGAUGAAUUCCUUCUUUGCCGCAUCCUGCUCUUCCCCUUUCAUCGUCCACACUUCCUCCCGAGAUCAUAGAACUGCAAAAUUGUUGACUUUUAUAAUUUACUUCAUAAUGGUACCGGAUCAGAAAGAAUCAUUAGAAUCAUCACAAGCUGAUUAUUAGUAUAGCAUUUCGUGCUGCAAUAUUACUUGUGCAACAUCAUCGAUUUCCAACAUGUGGUGAAUUUAUUACCAGGAUUGUUCUGUCCAACCAUUUGUCAAGCGAGAUUACCAAAAAAAAAAAAUGCAUAAAUUCAUUACACUUGAGCUAAUUCAAUCUUAAACCUUUUAAUUUGAUAAAUGUAAUCCUAGAUCUUUUGACAAUUUACUAAUUGAGUUCCUCCUAUCAAUUUUGGUCAAUAACCACUGACAUGGACACCGAUUGUCCUAUAUGACACGAUUGACAUUGACAUAAACAAUUUUUGUAAUUUAAAAUUUUUUCUUUCUUUCUUGUUUGCUUUUCUCUUUGCUUUUUUUUUCUUUUGGCAUUGUGGGAGCGAGGAUCACGAAUGAUCCUUGCUAGCUGCGAGAGAGGCCGCCAUGGCCCUCGCAUAGGUCUGAUGAGGGCCUUUGCGCCCUUCUUCACUAUGACCAUCUCUCCCACAGCCGACGGGGCUAUAAAAGCCCUCGCCCAAGGCCUUUGCAACCUAGUAGCCGGCAAGAGUUGUUGGGGACCACAAAGAAAAAAAAAAGAAAAAAUAUCUUUUGUAAAAAUUAUAAAAAUUGUUUGCGCCAGUACUAAUUACGUCGCAUAGGAAGACUGACAACCACUGUAGUGAUUUCUGGUUAAAAUUAAUCAGGUAAAUUAUCAAAAUAUUUAGAAUUAAGUUAGAUAAAUUAAAAGUUAAAGAUUAAAUUAGCACAAAUGCAAUAAAUUGAUGACACUUUUAGAAAAAAUGAAAAGCCAUACAAAGAAUCAUUGAUAGUGAAUGACGACGACGACAACAACUUAAGCCAGAUGAUCUUUCUUCGCAUUCAGCAUGAGAUAUAAAUAGCUAAAAACGAUCGCUCCAUUAUGAAGGCGCGUAAAUGUCAAUGCCUUCAUUCUCCUGUACCUAGCCUAGUCUACUAGGAUAAGGGUGUCGCAGGAGUCGGGCCCAGGAGGACCAAUCCAAGUUUGGUUACAAGUCCCCGGCGGUUUAUCAUUACUCUCUUUUUACGUUAGAGAGUUGAUUCCGAGAGAAACGACUCGAGUUUACGUCUCCAGUUCGACGGAGUAGUUUAAGGACUUGCUCAGAUCCAAGGCGCGUAAAUGUCAACGAAGAAUCAUUGACGAAAUAGACGACUAUAAAAACAGAGGAACUAAUAAUACCUUCUUGUCGACCAAAUCGGCCCAGUAUCUGGCUCGGGCUCAUUCGUUUGGAUCGGAUGACAAGAGACGGGCCUUAUGGCUCCAGGUCUCAUCGAUGUACACUCCACAAUGACGAGGGACUCGCAGACGGGCUUGCCGUUGUGGAUGAGGACGGGGAUUUUCUUGUGAAUCGGAUUCAGCUGGAGGAGGAGCUCGCUCUUGUUCACCGAGUGCUCCUCCUUGGACUUGUGCUCGUCCCCUUUCUCGGCCAGCGCUGCUCGGCACCUCAUCCCGUACAUGCUCGCGCAGAAGUCCAGGAGGGUCACUUCUUCAUCGGCCAUUUCCUUCAAGGUCGUGUGCUUGGCCCUUGAGAAUCGGAGGAGAGGAUUAUCGAAGUGUUGAGGGGUGAAUACUAGUUACUGUUGAGCGAGCGGUCCACCCAGGAUAAGCUGAGUAAUAUUUCCACACAAACAACACAAGUCGCGGACGGUGUAUAGGACAUGUCGUUUCUCAGCAUCUCUUCGAAACUGGAGGAAGCAUUUUGCGUGAAUAGUAAUUAGUCAAACAUAAAAUUCUUGUUUCUCAUUAAAAUAGAUAGCUGUGCUUGAAAUUUCAAUACAUUUCCUCACUUUUUGAUGACACGGAAUGCAUCGGCUAUGUAAGAUGCUUUCUUACGCAAACGCACGAAUACAUAUGGUUUUCUGUCAUUGAAACUUCUACUUUUAUCAUCGUGAAUUUCAAUCUUAAUUCAACAAGGAUCCAUGUAUUUUAAGUCACCCAGGUUGACAUCUUUAAAACAAUAAAAAGGUAACUAAAUAAUAAACUCAAAAAUAAGAGGGAAAAGCGUCCAAAAGAAUCCAUGCAAGUUCAAUGGGAGUGAUCAGCUCCAAAUCUAGAAUUACUAUGUUAAAAUCAAUUCCUAGUUUUUGAAACUUGAAAUUUAUCCCGUUUACCUUGAAAUCGAAAAAUUACAAACCGGUAUAUUUGUAAUAAAUUGAAAAUAAAACCCCAAACUGAUAUAACGAUUAAUUGUUAUAUGUUAUCAAACUCAAUAAUUUAAAGGUUAAAUUUAAUGAAAACUAACAUAUCGUAAAUUUGUUAAAAGUAUGUCGGUUUAGGAUUUUUUGUUGUCAAAAAAUUAAUUUGAAUAUAUUUGUCAUAAAUAUAUCAAAUACUGGGUUUUUAUAAUAUUAACCCUUAUUAUUAUUAUUAUUUUCUUAUCUAGGUUACUCAUUUAAUUAUUAACCUGGAAAAAUGGUUAAUGAUUUAAUUACAUGUGAGAAGCAUCAAGCAAUUUAUAAUGAUUUUGACUUGGCCUUCCAAGUUAUUAUUUUAAGUUGACGCUUUUGGUUUUCUUGCUUCAAUUGUAGCCAAGAUCUGAUGAAAUUCACUUUAAUCGGGCAUGGCAACAUCGCUGCAUUUAUAUCAUCUCUUGCAAUGAAAUUCAUCCACACCGCAAAAUUUAAUGAGAUUCAUAUUCAUCUACUUUUUUUUUUGGGUCGUACAUAUUCAUCUACUUUAUACACGAAAGACCUUAAAAAUUCAAUAGAUUCAUACCGAGUGCACUCAACUUAUUUAACGAUUUAUUAUCCCUUGGACGGACGACAACUUUCACUUCCACGAAAACCACGCCGUCCGUCGUGUCAUUAGAGUGCGACCGCAUUAUCCACACAGCUCAUGAUCAGCCUUCACAAUUUACGCGUCGGCAAUGCAUUGCGAUGGGACAGCACACCUUUUUGCAGAAAGAUGCAACUCUCGAGAGCAGAGGAAAAAGCACGUGAUAUCACACAAAAAGGGGUCCCAGCUCGCUUGCCCACACUGCUCGGCCUUCACUUGUUUUGGUCGGCAGACAAUGAUAGCUUCAGUGUUGAAAGAAGAUAUGGUUGAUGAUAUGGGAUUUGAUUGAAGAUUUGUAUUGAUUAUAAUCGAUAGGAAAUGUGAUUAUUUUAGGAUUAGAAAGAUUAGAAUAAUUUAUUUACUUUUUUUUAUUGAAUCCACUUGUACGAUAUAUACAUCAUUGUAUUACAUAGAGAAAUCAAUGAAGUAAAUACAAUUUUCCUCUCCACACAAAAUUCCCACAUUCCUCUUCUUGGAUUCGUGACAUGGUAUCAAAGCGUGUCUUGAUCCUGGCAUAGCUUCCGCACUAAAAUCAGCCUUUGUCUCUUCUCUGUUCCUUGUUGCUGCAACACUCGCAAAACGGAACAACAUCUUGUCUUCUCUGUUUCUUGUUGCUACAACACUCGCAGAACAGAACAACAUCUAGCAGGAAGUUAUUCAUCUAGCCUUCAAUUCUUUGUUCAAAAACUAAUCUACAAAACAAAGUUGUUGCAGAAUUUUUAGAAAAAUUGUCCUCAUGACAAAUCCACAAGCACUUACCUCAGGAUCCGAUGAUUAGUUCAUAGGAGAAAUAACGCCACAAGUCUCGCAGAUCCAGGAAUCAUCAUCAAUUGUCACUAUGUCCGAAGAGUAGAUCCAAUCACAGAGUCAAACUCAGCAUACACAAUGGGUACCUGUUCCAACUUAGGUCAAUUUGGGGCAACCCAAUUCGGGCCAACCUUACCAAUGGGUACCAUAUCCUUGGUAGUAUGGGACGGGCCUAAAUGCAUCAUUGCCAGGAUUUCGAAAUGGUGUACAGACUGAUGGAGGCCUACCAGCCAGCAAUGGGGCAAGCAUAAACACCAAUUCACAGCAGACGGGCGGAUCAGCUGAACCAGGUAUGGGAAUAAAUCCCUACUCGGGUUCGUUUUUUUUUCCCAAUGCGGGUCAUACAACCAAAUCUGGGGGAUCGGGUUUGGGAGCAAAUCCCUACUCGAAUCUGCCACUAAGGUUUCUCCCAUACCAGAUCUACGCUGCCAACAGCCGGCCGGAGCCUGGCGACUCUCUUUUCACAACUAAUGCCGACACCAGAACUGAAGCUUGUUGCUCAGCAAUUAACUGGACCAGAUAAUUACUCGAGAUGGUCGUGUGAGUUCCAGUGUGCUCUGGUAACGAAGGAUAAGGAGGGCUUUAUUGAUGGAACGGUUCCGAUUCCGUCCGACGAGCGACUAGCGCGACUUUGGAAAAAAUGUAAUGACUUUGGAAAAAAUGUAAUCAACUAGUCAAAACGUGGAUCGGAAACAGCAUCGCUUCCGAAGUCGUGGCCGGUCUUCCCCCGACGGAGGACUCAAAACAAAUGUGGGAAAACAUCAAGGAGAUGUAUGGAAAAUUGGAUUAAGUAAAAAUCUUUUCUUUGACGUAAUAGAUCUCGAAUUUAAAGCAAGGAAACAUGACUAUUGCUAUGAUUUUUAACAAACUUUCGGGUCUAUGGAAUGAAUUGGAAGUGGCCGAAGAAAAAUUCGACUGGCCGGAGCCGAUUUUACAGCAAUACAAAAGGAUGCGAGACAAGGAGAAAGCAAUCAAAUUUCUCCUCAUAUUAAACGAAUCUUACCUUUCAUUUCGAUCGCAGAUCUUAACCAUGGAGCCGAUGCCAAGCCUUGGCCGUAUCUAUCAGCUUGCUAUCCAAGAGGAAAGCCAACAAAGUGCAGCAGAUCUCGGAAAGGAAGGCGAGAGUGUGGCUCUAGCGACAAGAGUUUCCUCUCGCCCGCUACAGAGAACCACGGGAGGAAGAGAAGGUCGAGGACCCAAUCUAGGGUUCCACGAAAACCCUAGAGCAUAUAUACGGACGACGGAUGGCCACGAUUUUCCUAAUCGAUCGGACGCUCAUGAUCAAUCCUUGGAGCCGCUGGAUCCGACGGCUCACAGAGUGGUGCGGCCACUGAAUCCAACGGUUCAUGUGCAAGGGGUUUCUAUGGGUUCGAUGGCCCACGCAACCAAAUUUGUUCUAGGCCCAACGGCCCAUGAGGCCAUUUUUUUGCAUCAUCCGAAGGCCUAUAUGGGGGAACAACGGCCCAUUCUGUAAGCAGGCCUUCCUCAUUCACAAAAAAAAAAAAAACAACCACAAGGGAAAGGGUAAGCUGUAUUGUGAAUACUGUAAACGCCCGCACCACACAGUUGAAAGUUACUGGAAAUUACAUGGUAAACCUAGUGAAAAAGAAAAGGGAAAGUUUUCAACUGUCUUUCAAGUGACAGGUAAAUCAGCAGACAAGUCAAUCACUCAUGGGGAAUAUCAGGAGCUGAUGAAAGCUCUAAAGAAAUUGGAUCCUUUUGACAAGGCAAGAAGUUUCACAAGUAUUUCUUAUUGCCUGAUGAACUCAAUUUCGAAUGAUGCAUGGAUCAUUGAUACAGAAGUUAGUGAUCAUAUUGUCUAUAAUCCAAAAUUCUUUUCCAAUGUCAAAAGGUUAUCUUUUCCAAUAUUAGUACAACUCCCCAAGGUUAUCUUAGUCCACUCAUCACUCUCAAAAAUGUCAUUUAUGUUCCUACUUUCCAUUUUAAUCUCAUAUCAGUUUCUCGAGCUUGUGAAGAAAAUUCUUGUCAUGUCUCUUUUGACUCUAAUAAAUGUCUAUUUCAGGCCCUUUCAACUGGCAAACUGAUGGGCUUGGGUAGAAUAUAUCAAGGACUGUAUUUUUGGAUUAAUCUUCCAAGCAAUUUUAAAUUAUCCUCUGUUGCAUUCAAUAAACCAUUGUGUAACAUUGUUGCCAAUGAAAGAAAUUUUCUUCAUCAUCAAAGAUUGGGUCACACUGCUUCUUUCCCUUGUCCUCAAUGUCCCAUUUUCCCUUUAGCAAAACAAACUCGUGCCCCCUUUUAAAACAGUAAGACUCAAGUAGACGACAUCUUUUCUUUAAUUCAUGCUGAUGUCUGGGGACCAUAUCACACAAUAAAUCAUGAUGGUUCAAUAUUUUUUCUUAUAAUUGUGGAUGAUUUCUCACGUGCCACUUGGGUCUUUCUCAUACAAUCAAAAGGUAAAGUUCUUUCUCACCUUAAAAUCUUCCUUUCCUUAUCCAAAACUCAGUUUGGAAAAUCAGUUCGUCGCAUCUGCACUAAUAAUGGAAGAGAAUUCUUCAAUGGUGAUUGUACUUCCUUUCUUUCCUCAAAUGGAAUUUUGCAUGAAAGUACCUGCACUUAUACCCCACAGCAAAAUGGGGUUGUUGAGCGAAAGCACCAUCAUCUCUUAGAGGUGGCAUGUGCUCUUAAGUUCCAGGCAUCUAUACCAUAAAAUUUUUGGGGAGAUUGUGUGGUCACUACAGCAUAUCUAAGAAAUCGUAUGCCAUCACGCAUUCUAGAAGGCAAAACUCCGUUUGAAUUAUUGUAUGGAAGGAAACCAAAUCUGAGUCAUCACCGAGUGUUUGGUUGUCUAUGUUAUGUGGCUACAAUAGGUCCCCGGGAUAAAAUGUCCCCUCGUGCUUAACAGUGCAUCUUCAUGGGGUAUCCCAACUUAAAAACGGGUUAUCGAUUUUAUGAACAGUCUACCAGAGAGUUUUUUAUCAACAGGGAUGUGGUUUUUCAUGAAGAUAUUUUCCCUUUUCGGGAUACUACUUCUAUGUCUGCAGAUGAUAUGAGAACUAAUCAUCGAUUCCUAUCAGAAGAAGAUCUAUCUUAUGGAGAAUCAUACCUUAUUACCUCUCCUCUAAGACAUCAGAUAGUAGAUAUAGUAUUGCCUUCACCACCCAAUGAUUCAUCUCAUGACAAUUCCGUUGAGCAACAACUCAUGGAACAGGAAUCUCAGGAGACAAAUCACGGAGAACCUACAAGUAUUGAAGAAUCAUCUUUGAAGGUGCCGGAUGAGCCACCACGAAGAUCUGGUCGAAUCACGCACCCACCAACCUGGACCAAAGAUUAUGUCUGUUCCUCAUCACUAUCAUCAGGUACCCAUUAUCAUCUAUCCUCAUAUAUAUCUUUCAACCGCUUGUCGUCAGACCAUUUAUGUUGCAUUAGCCGAAUUUCUGAGGAAAGGGAGCCUUCUAGUUAUAAUGAGGUUGUACAUGAUGAACACUAGCAAAAAGCAAUGGAGGCGGAACUUAAGGCCCCGAUUGAUAAUCACACUUGGGAUAUUGUGUCAUUACCUCCUGAUCGCAAGCCCAUUGGAUGUAAAUGGGUCUAUAAGAUCAAAUACAAAGCAGAUGGCUCUAUGGAAAGAUACAAGGCCCGGUUGGUGGCCAAGGGUUUCACACAGCGAGAAGGUUUUGACUACCAUGAGACAUUUUCUUUGGUAGCCAAGGACGUCACGAUUCGCUCCUUAUCGGUUGCCGCCUUUCGCAACUGGUCAUUGCAUCAGAUGGAUGUCCACAAUGCUUUUCUUCAUGGUGAUCUGGAAGAGGAGAUUUACAUGGACCUUCCACAAGGAUUACAGAGACAUGGGGAGUCUAAGGUAUGUCGUCUACGCAAAUCUCUUUAUAGAUUGAAACAGGCUUCUCGACAGUAGUACGCCAAGUUUACUAUUGCACUUACGAGAGCUGGGUUCCAGCAAUCCAAACAUGAUUACGCUUUGUUCACUUGGGCAAAAGGUUCGUCGGUCAUAUACUUGAUUAUUUAUGUUGAUGACAUACUUAUCAUGGGAAAUGAUGAUUCCGUUGUAAAGAAGCUUAAAGACCAUCUACAUUCGUCUUUUCAUAUCAAAGACUUAAGGUCACCUAAGUAUUUUCUUGGAAUAGAGAUAGCUCGUUCUGAUCUAGGGAUUUCCCUUAGUCAACGAAAGUUUGUGAUUGAGAUUAUAUCAGAAGUGGGAUUAUCAGGGUGCAAACUGGCAAUUAUUCCCAUUGAACAGAAUGCCAAGUUGACUAGUGUUGAUUAUGACGCUGGGACGUCCUCCUCUGAUGAUCCACUAUUGAAGGACUCGACAAGCUACCAAAGACUUGUUGGGAAGCUUAUCUACCUCACUAUGACUAGGCCAAACAUUUGCUAUGCAGUACAGACUCUCAGUCAAUUCAUGCACAAUCCAAAGCAAUCACAUAUGAAUGCAACCUUAAAAGUGGUGAAAUAUCUGAAGAGAUGUCGAAGACUAGGGAUACUCCUCUCUAGAAAGUGCAGUAUGGAGAUGAUAGCCUCUUAUGAUGCAGACUAUGCUACAUGUCCCAUGAACAGGAGAUCUAUCAUGGAAGACAAAGAAACAAUUCACCGUAUCAUUGUCAUCGGCAGAAGCUAAAUAUCGAUCUAUGGCAAAGACUGUUUGUGAGGUAGUAUGGCUACGAGGCUUACUUCUGAACCUUGGGGUACAAGUUAAAGGUCUGACAUUACUUUCCUAUGAUAAUGAUUCGGCACUCAAGCUUGCGGCAAAUCUUGUACUACAUGAAAGGACAAAACAUAUAGAAGUUGAUUGCCAUUUUACUAGAGAGAAGAUCGAAGAAGGGAUCAUCGAAACCAGAGGGAUCAGGACCAUAGAACAGCCCGCGGAUAUCUUCACUAAACCCCUUUGUUAGAGACAGCAUCUUGGAUAUAUACAAGCCACCAGUUUGAGGGGGAGUGUUGAAAGAAGAUAUGAUUGAAGAUUUGUAUUGAUUGUAAUUGAUAGGAAAUGUGAUUAUUUUAGGACUAGAAAGAUUAGAAAAAUUUAUUUACUUUUUUAUUGAACCCACUUGUAUGAUAUAUACAUCAUUGUAUUACAUACAGAAAUCAAUGAAGCAAAUACAAUUUUCCUCUCCACACAAAAUUCCCACAUUCCUCUUCUCGGAUUCGUGACAGUCGGUGGAGCGGAAAACUACCAUAUAGUCGUGCAUCCUCAGUAGACACAGUACCAAAUGCAAGACAAGGUCUAUCAAUUCAAUGCGACUUUAAUUGCAAAAAGUAAGGGCAGCGUAUACGGCUGCUCGAACUUUUUAACGCUCUUGAUAGCGACCGCCACACCCUCCCCUCUAUAUUUGGUUCGCGGGUCGAAUUAUUUUUUGGGACAUCAGUUCAUAUUCGACCUUUCAAAGAACAUGGAGAAGGCGCAAGCCAUGAGAUUUGCAGUCGAAUUUGCGCCGAGCAAACUUGUCUCUGCCAGAAGGUGUCCGCCGCUGAUUCAAUUGCUUGAGACGAUUGCAGAGGAAGAGACUGAUGAUCUGGAAACUACUACUACUCUUCUGCUUCCGAUGUAUCUUCCUCCUCAUAAUGCCAUUAAUACGGACUGAGAAACUGUUGUUGAAGAGGAAGCAAGGAGAUCGUGUAGACCAUGUUAGUGGCCAUCUGCGCAUCAGUGGGAGCCGUAUUGGCUCAUACGAUACUUCGUCAAUGUCAACAACCGCGAACACAUUUUAGUAGUCCAAUUUUGUUUCUCUCUGAUUUUGAUGUUAAUAACAAGGUCUUUCUCGCCACGGGUGGGCUCGAGCAGUUUAGAUGUAUUCCAUAAAGCAUGUGUAAGAAUCUUUACCAAAUCAUGUUGUGUCAUGCGGACCUUUGGUCCAUCUUUCUUUUCUUAUCGAGAGUAGUACAUGUUGCAUUGCCUCUCAAAUGCAGCUAGUGACAGGGAGCAGUGAGUAAUGUGUCCUGACUGCUGAAAUAUUUAGGCACCUUCAAUGGCAACUACGAUCAUCAAUUGCCUAACAACCAAGUGUUAGGGCUGAUUAAGGGAUGAUGAUUUUAAGUGGUCUAAGAGUAUCCGGAAAAGUCACUCCCCAGGGUGAACCUAAAGUAGUUCAGGACUAAGAACAGUUACAAAGAGUAGGCUUCGUCCUUCCCCAGCUCUUUCAGCUCCGAUGAGCAUUCAAAUCGCAGUCCAUAAUUCUCAAAAAACGAAAGAAAAUAAGAACACAGGAAGGAUUUCGAAGAACAAUUGAAAACCAGAAUGUACUCAUGACCUGAUCAGAACCUUCCUUCGCGAGGAGAUUGCUACCUGAACAUGACAUGAGGUAGAAUGCCUUACUAUGCCAUAUGAUCGCCCAGUAGUACGAGAUGAAGAGAAGACACAGCGAAGUGUCCUCUCAGAUUACAGAAUUCUUAAGAAAACAAAGAAGCCCGUUGCGAGUACAAGAGGAUUACUAACAAGGAUAGCAAAUGCCGACAGCCAGACCAGGGAGAAAAACAGGGUCUAGCAAAAGCAGAAGCAGCGUCCCCUACUCUAUGCCCAUUGCUUUCUUGAGCUCCAAGACGUAGCCAUGCACCUUUUGAGGGUCGGGGAGAGAUUUGGACACGCUCUCCUUCUCCAUGCACCUUUUGCCCCACGCAAUGAGCUUGGGACACUCCGCUUCGAUGCUGAAGUUUCCGCACAUCUCGUAGGAGUAGAACCGGCAGUAGAAGCCGAUGAAUGAUAUGUCCAAGAACCCGAACUUCUUGCCCCCAAAGAAAGGCUCGUUUCCUAGCUCACUUUCCAGUAGUUUUAGGCUGUGGAUGAAUUCCUUCUUCGCCGCCUCCUGUUCUUCCCCUUUCGUCGUCAGCACCUUCCACCCUUGACCAUAGAACUGCAAAAUCGUAGAUCGGUCCCAGAUCAGAAAGUCAUCAGAAUCAUCACAAGCUUUCUCCUAGUAAAAGCACUUCAUGCUUCAGUAUUAUAUGUGCAACAUCAGUCAACUCCCAACAUUAACAAACGUACACGACGAUAAAACCAUGGGGACUAAUACCUUCUUGUCGAUGAAAUCAGCCCAGAAUCUGGCUCGGGCUCGUUCGUAAGGAUCGGAUGGCAAGAGGGGGGCCUUGUGGCUCCAGGUCUGGUCGACAUACUCCACAAUGACGAGAGACUCGCACACAGGCUUGCCGUUGUGGAUGAGGACAGGGAUUUUCUUGCGGACCGGGUUCAUCUGAAGGAGGAGCUCCCCCUUGUUCCACAGGUCCUCUUCCUUGUACUCGUACACGACCCCUUUCUCGGCCAGCGCUACGCGGCACCUUAUCCCGAACAUGCUGGGCCAGAAGUCCAGGAGGAUCACUUCAUCGGCCAUUGCCUUCAAAGUCUCUCUGUGUGUUUGUGACCCUUGAGAAUCGAAGCAGAGCAAUUUCGAAGUGUUAAAAAGGGGGUGAAUGAUAGCAACUGUUGAGCCAGCACUCGACCCUAUAGAAUCGAGGAGUAUUUUAAAUUAAAUAAGAACGUUACGUCAAAACGUCGUAGCAUCGGCGUACUCCUUUGGUUCCGUGGACGGCAUAUACAAAGUUUCUCAGCAUAUUUCGCUGACUCAAUAUCUACAUGCGUGGUUCCGUGGACGGCAUAUACAAAGUUUCUCAGCAUAUUUCGCUGACUCAAUAUCUACAUUUUUUGUCGGCUGAUGUCCAUAUUAACGAAAAACUCAAUUGACACAAUUAUAAAAUAUUUAGAAUUAAAUUAAAAAUUAUAAUAAAUUUAAGAUUGUUUUGGUAAUUAUUAUACAAUUCUUUUUGGUUGAAAAUAAUAUAUCAAACAUAUUUAAUUACCUUAAAUACAUUUAGUUUUUAAUUAAAAAAAUAGUCAAAGAAUUUACAUAGGCUUAUGUGUAAAAACCAAUCCCAAUAUGGAUUCAAUUUCAUAUUCCAACUUCCACCUUAGAAUCAACCUUGCAGGUUUCACGCUCUACCUUAAAAGGAUAUUUCAUCAAAAUACUUUUCAGUGAUAUAUCCCUUUGGCACACCCAGUGGGAUAUUUUGUUGAUUCAAAAAGACUAUGAUGACAAGAACCAAAAUUUAACUAGAGUUCGACAAUAAUGCUAGCAAACAACUCAUUAAACUAGGGGGUAAGGACAAUAUAAAUUACUUUUAGUAGACCGAUUUCAAGCUCCCAGUCCUCACUUAAACAAUGUCCCUAGGAUUGACGUUGUAUACCCUUUUCCAUUACGGUGACUGGCAAUAUUAUGGAAGCCUAAAGUGACUACUGAACCGCCAUCGCAAUCAUGAACAAGUGGAGUGACUAGCCGGAUGCUCAAUUCUUGAUGAAGAUUAUGUACUCCCGGGAUGCAGUAGAAACUACAAAGAUCAGGCUCGCGUCCGUGGCUCGUAGAGAGCCUUUUAUAUAUCACAUACAAAGAGUAUAAGGGCAGCUGAUCAAACAACAGUCAGCUGAUGAAUCCAGCGCAGAAGGUUACUCCAUAACAUCGUGCCAACUUUCCGAGAGAGCAAUUACAGUGCAGAGGAAAAGCAAAACUUUAGAAUGGACUGCAUUUUCAGAAAUAAUCAUAACGGAUCACUCGAAGAACAAGAAGGAACAUUUGGUUUUGGGAAAAUGACUAAAUAAAUGACCUUCCUUCAAAUUUAAUCUAUCAGAAGAGAUUUUACAUCGCAUCAUUUGGACAGUGCUUGCUGACACAGAAACAAUGAUACAGUUCUCAUGAUAAGGUAACAUUUUUACAAGUUAAACCAGGCUAACGGCCUGACAAAAAUGUUGAUUUGUAAAGUUAAAAGGGAACAGAUCCCAUACCAAUUGGCUGGACCCUACCGCUGAAACCUCCUCCUCUGGAUUGCCCAAUGCUGUAAAUCGUAUCUGAUAAGCUAGGUCUGCCCAAGACCUUCCAUGCUUCCACCUGGAAUCACGUAAAUACAGUCGACCAAAUGUCUGUUCUCCACAGGUGGAACUUGUGCCAGAAAGCCUUGACCUUACAUAAUGGCAAGGGCAAUUGGUGAUAUUCUGUAACAUGAUGCCUAG